Molecule: long non-coding RNA, 70087 nt
Filed under: Physcomitrium patens
Lineage: Eukaryota; Viridiplantae; Streptophyta; Bryopsida; Funariales; Funariaceae
Description: long non-coding RNA (PPAT_LNC009662)
Source: RNAcentral
UGUUUGAUGGUUCUCCAUCCAAAUGCACCGUCAAAUCUUCAUUCAACAAACUCAAUUCCCGUACUUGAGACUCACGUCGGGCAACUUGGUUGUCACGCUCCUCCAACAUCUUCUACCAUUCUUCUAUCAGUUUCAAAGGUAUCUCCAAAGGUGUCAUCGCUGAAACUGGCGUAUUGAUCCAUACUAAAUUAUUAGCCUCCUUCGCUAAUACUGCUAGAUUAGUUUACAACAUCGCAACCUCUACUUGCAGCCAUUCUUAUCGUUCCUUCCAAUCAGUCGCCAUCCUUAAUAUCUCAAAUAUCAUAUUCGCCAUCUUGUCCUUAACCACAAAAGAAAACACAAUGCUUGUCAAGAGCCCCCCUCCUACUUCUUACCAUAGUCCAAUCAAUUGCAUCGACUCCCCCUUUUGUAACAAAAAAUCUAUCCAAAAUUUACGUAUAGUAAAGUUUAAGCCGAUUACCAUUGAUCCGUUAUCGUAUUACGUACUUUCCUGCUCGAGAACGCGUCGGGCGUCUGGCUGUAGAAGGUAGUAUGGAGAUUCGCUAAUAGUCAAGCAGUCUAUCAGCUUUUGACUGUUAGAAUAUAAACGACUACAAGAAUACACCGUAAAUCUAUACGAAUGUCCUUCGACUGCUCACCAAAGUCUUUUUUGUCCCGGCCGGGAGGUCUCUAAACGUUACAGAGAACCCCGAACAACCCAAACUGCUAAUCUUCAAUACCGCUUUAUACUCACGAUCUUGUAUCCACUGACUGUCUUGUUAGAUUAACCCAAUAAAUUUCAUUCACUCCGCAUACUCAAUCCUAUAGACACCCUUUUAAUUCUUCAUCAUAGACGUAACUCGAUUUCACAAAACAGUCAAGAGUAAUCAAAUCCACUUCAUUAAAAAUCCCGAUUCACCAUUACAACACUGACUUCAGCAACGAUUGCCUCCAUCUUCUCAAAAUCCUAUGAAGAAAAAAAACCCAAUUCUCUGUCUUCUUUCCCUGCCCGAAGCAUGAAGCUAGCUCCCUCCUUCUUCAAAAAAAAAAAAAAAAAACCCCCAUAAAAAAAACCUCCCCUAACCUUAUCCUCUAAAUCUCUUCAAUCUUCCGUCUUGGAUCCGAAAUUGGCUCCAGCAGUCAGAGCUUAGAUCCAAAAUUGGCUCUCACCGUCAGAGCUUUCUCCUCCAUUUUUACUUUUAAGAGAUCCAUUUACCAAAAAUAAUGUUCUCUGAAAUGGCAUAGAGAAUAGGACAGCCUGAAACAGAAUCGAAACCCUGUACUCGGGUCCACAUUGAGUCGCCUGACCAAUUCAGGUCUCAUAUUAGGUAAGAUGCCCGUAGUAACCUGGAUGUUCACGUAAUUGGGUCCAAUUGGUCCUCGCGUCAGAUCGGCUAAGAGGCCCGUAGUAAGACUGCAUUGGGUUGCCCGGCCAAUUUAGGUCUCAUAUGGAUAAGAGGACCCGGAUUGGAUUCUUGAAAUUAGAUCCAAUUGGCUCUUCGAACCAGGCUCACCCGUCGUGUGAAUUGGUCCUUUUUCUUCCUGCUGACUCCCGUUAUUGGAAUCGAACGGAGCAUUUCAGUAUGCCCCGGCUGACUGUAACGAGAAGACUGAACCUGGCCACUCAGUAUUUGCACUGGAGUUGGUCGUUGCUCCCAAUAUUCGAGGUAACUGAACAUUAAUAAAAGUCCCCUUUCUUUAUAUUUUCAUGGUAUACUCGUGUUACAAUACGACAUCCACCCCCUCUGAACCUAUGCAUCCUCCGGUAUGUACCAAUUUACCCAAUUACUGUUUGAUUCAGAAUAUAUCAUCUACGUCUUUGUCUAGUUCGUCUUCGUCACCUUCAUUACCAAAUCACUUUCAUCUUCUUGCUGCGGAAUCUCUAUACCUUCAUUAAGGUCUUCCAUAUUCAUCUCCGCAUGUCUUCGUUUAAAUAUUUUUACUCGCUUCGCUGCAAUUGGUAUUUUCAAUUUUGUACCAUCUAACUCUCGUAAUGAGUAAGUCGAAUUAUCAUAAACAGUUAUUACUACAUAUGGUCCAAACCAACGUUUUGAAAAUUUCCGCAAAGUACUAUGUUGAUUAUCUAGACUAUUGUCAUAAACAAGCACCCAAUCAACUUCCUCGAUUGCUUUAGGUCUCAAUCGAUGUUGCUUGUCGAAUCGCGCCUUGUUUUGUAACCUUGCUCUUUUUAAUCUUCCCAAUGCUAUCUGCAAAUCUUUUGUUCUUUGCUCCAAUUGUCGAAUCCUAAUAGCCAAAAGUUCUUCUCUUAUCAAUCCAUCUUCCCAUGGUAGCAUACUCCAAGUAAGUACCUUUUCUUCAAUCGGCAUAAUUGAUUUUUGACCUGUCAUAAGUUCUACUGGCAUAUAUCCUGUCACCGAGCUAUGUGUUAUUCGAUCAGCCCAUAAUGCAAAUGACAAAAGCCGUGGCCACUGUUUAACUUUUCCAUUACAAGCUUUAACCAAUGCUUUCACAAUCGGUGGGUGACCACGUUCGCUUUUUACAUUCCCUUCUGGAUUAUAAGCAGUAGUCAGUGAUAGUUUAACUCCACAUCUUUCAAAGAACUUACGAGCUUCUUGUGCAUUUAAUUCUCCACAAUCUGCAGUGAUUUUUCCUACGCACUCGUAACGGUAAAUGACAUCUUCAAGCAAAAACCUACAAAUCCCCUCUGUAGAUUUUGUCCUCAAUGCUCUUCCUUCUACUUGAUUUGAUAAAUCUUCACGAGCUAAAACCAAAUAUCUCAUCUGCUAUAACCCAACCGGCAUAAUAACCAAAUCAACAACCCAUUUAAAAUGAAUAGCCAAAGGAUGCGUAGGAUGAAGACCAUCUCGAUGUCGGAUAUUAGAAUACGAUUGACAGAUUUCACAUGACUCUACAAAUGAGAGCACAUCUCGAUACAUAUUUUUCCACCAAUAUCGUUCCUUGAGUUUAGCAAAAGUAGCCCAGAUUCUUCUAUGCCCUGCCCAUAAACUAUCCUGAAACUCCUUUAAUAAUUUUAGUUUUUCUUCCCUUUUGCCUAUCACUCGUUGUGGCAUCCCAAUUCCUUUCUUCGGUCUCUUCCAUAAGAAUCCAUCUCAAAGUAAAAAUCCAUAUGCUUUUUUUCUUAUUUGUUUGAAUUUUUUUGUAGACCAAUUCCCCUACUUAGUCUAGGUAUUCAAAUAAUGACCAAUAUCCAAUAAUUCUCCUUCAUAAGAUUCUUCAAGAAAUAGCUUGUCUUCCCUGUUGAGAUUUGAUAUUGAAUAGAAUUUCAAUCCAACAUCAUCAAUGUCUUCAACCAUUUUGUCCUCCCUCUCGUAUCUUACUCGAGAUAGCAUGUCUGCUACUAAAUUGUCCUUCCUAGUAACAUGCUUAAAUUCUGGAUUUAGUGACUUAAUAUAAGGAAUCCAUCUCAACAUUGCAAUAUCUAGCGUUGAACAGUUAAUAAUCAUUCCAAGCAAUGGCAAGUAAUCUGUUUCAAUUACUACUACUGCCCCAAUCAAAUAGUCCUUUUCAGCUUUCAUAGCCGAAACAACUCCCCAAAGUUCUCUUUUGACUUGCGAAUAUGCAGGCUGACGAAUACUUAAACUUUAGCCCCAAAUCGAACCGCAAAUCGAUUCCCAUUUGAAUCAUCUUGACCCACAGCCCAUCCAACGGCAAUUGGACUAGCGUCUAUAGUAAGAAUCACUGGUCUAUUGCACUUAUAAUCAACCUUCCUCAAUGUUGGAGGUGACAUCAAUAAUUUCUUCAAUCUUUGCAUUACUUGAAUAUGCCUUUCUUUCCAUUUAAAUCGGUAACCCUUGCGUAACAGUUCAUAUAAUGGAUCCGUUAUGUGAACAAAAUGAGGGAUCCAGAUUCGAUAAAAUACACAUGCACCUAAAAACCUGCGAACCUUUGUUAAAGAAUCACAAUCCUCUUUCAUCCUUCCAAUUGCAUCAACUUUAGUCGGAUCUGGUUUUCUUCCGUAAGAUCCACAUAAAUGUCCAACAAUUACAACCUCUCGUACUCCAAAUACGGACUUCAUACCCGAUAAUGUAAGAUGAACUUCUCCAAGCCGAGUUAAAAUCUUUUCACAAUCUUGUAUAUGAUCAACAACAUAUUUGCGACAUCCCCUCGUAUCUAAAGUUUCAUCCUUGUCUCCUUCUUUACACCUUUUUAUAGGAACAUCAUCCAGAAAAGGCAUAGUCUUUUCCAGAAUAAAAUCUCUCAAUACCUUAUUCAUCUCAUUCAUCAUAUGCGCAACUAAGUUGGUCGUGCCUUGAGGAAGAGUGCACAUUCUAAUCAAUCCAAGUGGCGUCUUCAUUGUUGUCAUAUCUCUACUUCCUUCAACAAGUUGAAAUUGAUCAUAACCGGAAUACAAGUCACCCAUUGAAUAGAUCGCCCUUCCAGCAAACGCCUCAGUAAAUUCAUCCACAAUAGGUCCAAUUCUUGCAUUCCUGACAGUUACUGCAUUUACCGGUGGCAUAUCUUGAAUAAACCGUAGUGACCCAUUCUUCUUAGGUACCAUAAACCAUCGACUAGAAUACGGUGCAAAUCAAGGUUCUAAUAUUUUCAUCUUUAUCUUUUCUUUUUAUAGUUCCACGAAUUUAGAUAAAUGUGCCCUCGGUAUUGGAAUCGGUCUUAGAUUCCAAGGUACAUGCGGUACAAUGAAGAUAACCAUAGAUGUUAUAAUAUUUGGAUCCACACACCCAAUUUCAUGAGAUUUGAAAGCAAAUGAUCUACCUUGUUUAGCCAACAUCUUUUUGAAGCAAGUAAUUUCCUCCGACAAUAAAGAACCAUCAGAACCAAUCUUCAAUUCUUCAAAAGUCUCUUUAGUAAACUAAUGUCCAAUACUCAUUGGAUUUCUUAAUCUUGCUUCUUUUGAUGCUUCUCUCAUUUAUUCUUUAGAAUCCUCUGGUAAUGGUCCGGCAACAGGCUUUACCUUCUUAUCUGUUGUUUUAUAUCUCGUCUCUAUAGUGACUUUUGGUGCUUCAAAAGAUUCAAGUACGGUGUAAACCUCUCUUGAAUGAAUCUCAAUAAUCUUAUCAUUAUCCCCUAAACCAAUAGAUGUAAUCAAUUCCAAUAAAUCUUCCAGUCCAUUUUCUUCAUAAACACCUAAAAUCCUCUCAUCAUCUUGUAAUGUACUUAACUUGCGUAAUUGUCCUUCAAUAUCAUAUAAUCUUUUUCUUUCUUUUCUUUAAAAUCAUCAACUUUCUUAUACAUAAUAUUUCCAUUCUCCAAUAUACCAAUAAAACUCGCAUCAAAGGCACCUUCAUCUCGCGAGAGUACCUCCUCUUUUGUACCUCCAUAAUCUCGCUUUACAGUGGACCUCUCCAAAAUCCUUAACUCCUUCAACAAUCUUUGGCAAUGGUUUCUCCCUCAACCUAUCUCGAUUCCGUUCAUGGUUACGAGGUAUUGUUAGAAAUUGUAUAGCUUUCCUCCCAUCUUCGCUCAGUAUCCUUGCAUAAGCAGAACCAUCGUCAAGUACUUUUGUUUCCAUCCGUGUUGCCGUAAUAUAAGGUUGUCCUAAAAUCAACGGAUAAGACGUUGUAUCUUGAACAAAGAAAUGUUGCUCCGUUGCAACAUCUCCAAUCCAAAUUUUGACAUCUGGACAAGCUCCAUAUAAUUCGCCUCGUGUGUUAUUAGCUGCUCGUAUUGCCCAUCCAUGUUCUAUGUCAAUUGGCCAUUUUUGUUUCUUAUAAAGAUCUUUAGACAUGAGAUUUAUUUCAGAAUCAUGGUCGACUAAAUCAACUAAUGGUUCUUCUAUAUCUCCUACUUUCACCAAUACCUCAGUAGUUGCCCUUGCCCAAUGCUUUCGAGUAUAAUGGCUUAAAAUUUCCAUUUCCUUGUCACUAUAAUCUCCGAAACGUAUUUGUUGAUUAUACCCAUUCUUUUCAUUUGUUGGUUGCUUGAAACCAAUAUCAACCUCUUCUUCAUCUCUACAUAUUCUUGUAUCAAUAGCAUGACUCAUUCCAGUUUCGCCCAUUAAUUGCCUCUUUCGCUUAAUGCUGUCAAUGAUAACAUCAUGAAACUCCUUCUUUGCAAUUUCCAAGACUUCUUUCAAUAUGAAUUCCACCUUAGCAUUUAAUAUACGUUCUUCCAACACCCCUUUUAAAUCUGUUGCCGCUUCAAUGUCAGAAAGUAGCUUAUAAGCAAUUGAUUUGCCCUUAUCUUUUGUCUCCUUUGUUUUUUCUCCCAAUGAUGCUGAGGUAUCCUUUAUAGGCAAUUUUUGUGAAGCUGCAUCCCGAGCCUUGUCUCCUCGAGUUUGCCUCUUAGAAGAAUUUUCUUCUCUCAUAUCAUCAAAAUUUCCUCGUCUCUUUUCUUCCAUCAAAGCUUUAUGUUGGCUCUUAGCAAUAUACGCAUGAACUGAAAGAGACUCAACAAGAUCCUCCCAACCUGUUCUACCUCAUAUUGUAGCUACAGUCCUCAAUAAUGCUUUUCGAGGUAAUUUUUCUUCUUGCAUUGUAGAAAUGGCAGAAGCCCAAAACUCACUAGUUUUCGUACUUCCACCAAUUUCAUCGUCUACUCUAGCACCAUAACUUGCACUUUCUCGUGCUGCUGUUUCAUGCUCUUUUAGGUAAUCUUGAACCAAUACUCUCAUUCCUCCCUUGCCAAAAUUGGUUUGAAGAAGAUCAUCCUUAUCUUUCAAUGCUAUCUUCCCAUCUUUCCAGUAAAUAAUUCCCUGUCGUAUCAUAUUAUUAAAUUCAUUGCAAUCUUUUCUAGUGUGUGAAGCAUCAUUACACCAAAUGCAUCUUUGUACAUAUCCUUGUUUUGAAACAUUCUUCGAAUUAUUUAUAGAAGUAUUCUCUUCAAGUCUUGCCAAUUUGAUUUGAAGAUCUUGCAUUCCUCGUAUAAUUUCUUCCAUCCCCAUAUCUGCUUUCUUUGAUAAGGAUGUCGAAGGUUGAAUUGUAGGCAUUGUUGGUGGUGUUGUACGUACUGGAGCUUUGGGUGCUUGUACUGUUUUCGGAAUAUUGCUCCUAUCCUUCCUCCUUUCUCUUUUUGUAAGCAACCCCACCGCAUCUUCAACGUUCUUCCACUUUAUUGUCAAUCCUUCAUCUUCUUCUUUGUCUUCAAGAAGGAGUUCUAAUUUCCCUAGCAAUUCUCCAUCAGCAGCUUGAAGAAAUAGAUCAACUUUGUUUGGCUCCAAUGUCAAUUUUUCUACCUUCGACAAUUGAGAGUACUGCCUCUCAAAUUUCCUUAGUAGCUCUGUUGCUUGUAAAUUCUUAUUGGGCCAUUCAAUCCAUUCCAGAAAUAGCUUCUUAGUAACGCGAUCAACAUCUUCGAAGAAAUAUUCGUCUUUCAAUGCAUGUGAGAAAACCUCCCAUGAAUUCCGAUAACGAUCCGUAAUCGAUGUAAUGUAGUCUCUUAUCUCCGGUAUCGUGGCAAGUCCAAAUAGUUCAACCAUUUUCUUCUCAGAAACCCGAUUUAAUUCCAUUUCACGAACAUAACAUCUUAAAUACCUUCAAAUAUUCCUUCCGUCAAAUUGAUCAAUUUUAUUGACCAUUGCUUGCAAUGCUUUGGUUGCCAAAGCUUCCUUUCAAUCAUUGCUUUGCUGUUGCUGCAUUGAUAAUGAGAAGGCUUGAAACAUACUAGCAAUAGACGGAUCCAUGUGCAUACCUUGUCCUUUAGAAGAAUCCCCACUAGAAACUCCUCCCAAAAAUCCUUCAAAAUUUUUAUUUUCGUUUUCCAUAAAAUAAAGAAAAAAUCAACCGAAAUCCAAUACCUUCCACCUCAAGCUUUCACGUCGGGUUCACCACUUUUGUUGUAUUACGUGCUUUCCUGCUCGAAAACGCGCUGGGCGUCUGUCACGGACAUACAUAUAAUUACAUAUAUGAAUAGAUAAAAGUAUGUAAAAGUAGGUUAAUUGUGUAAUAUCUUCUAGAGAAGCUUCUUAGAAGCUUCAUAGACGCUGCUUUGACUUUAUAGGAGUCUAUAGUUGACUUUUAGGUUAGAAACUUGGUCAACAAGUUAGCCAUGUGCCACGCAUGUUGGAAGCUUAAAGAACAAGCUAACUACGUGGUCCAUCCAUAGAAAACUUGCCUUGCAAGCAAAGGCAUGUGGCCUAGAAAGUCAACAUAUAUUGGAGGUCUUAUAGAACAUCGCCACGUGGCUUCUAGUUAGAUAGUAUAUAUAGAGGCAAGAGUGAAGCCCUCUUCACUCUUGUCAACUCCUUUCUUGCUUCUAGUCUAGUUUCAAGGAUCUCUAGUUUUCUUGUAUUUUGGCAAUAGCCAUUCCAGUUUCUUUCUUAAUAUACAUAUUUCUAUUUUGUCCUAUUUCUUUUUGAGAAAAGUCUCACUUACUCUUUAGCUUUCAUCGAGUUCUUGUCCUUGACAGCGUCUGACUAUAGAAGGUAGUAUGGAGAUUCAUCGAUAGUCAAGCAGUCUAUCAGUUUUUGACUGUUAGAAUAUAAACAACUGCAAGAAUACACCGUAAAUCUAUACAGAUGCCCUUCGACUGCUCGCCAAAGUCCUUUUUGUCCCGGCCGGAAGGUCUCUAAACGUUACAGAGAACCCCGAACAACCCAAACUGCUAAUCUUCGAUACCGCUUUAUACUCACGAUCUUGUAUCCACUGACUGUCUUGUUAGAUUAACCUAAUAAAUUUCAUUCACUUCGCAUAUUCAAUCCUAUAGACACCCUUUUAACUCUUCAUCACAGACGUAAUUCGAUUUUACAAAACAGUCAAGAGUAAUCAAACCCACUUCAUUAAAAAUCCCGAUUCACCAUUACAACACUGACUUCAGCAACGAUUGCCUCCAUCUUCUCAAAAUCCUAUGAAGAAAAAAAACCCAAUUCUCUGUCUUCUUUCCCUGCCCGAAGCAUGAAGCUAGCCCCCUCCUUCUUCAAAAAAAAAAAAAAAAAAAACCCCAUAAAAAAAACCUCCCCUAACCUUAUCCUCUGAAUUUCUUCAAUCUUCCGUCUUGGAUCCGAAAUUGGCUCCAGCAGUCAGAGCUUAGAUCCAAAAUUGGCUCUCACCAUCAGAGCUUUCUCCUCCGUUUUUACUUUUAAGAGAUCCAUUUACCGAAAAUAACGUUCUCUGAAACGGCAUAGAGAAUAGGACAGCCUGAAACAGAAUCGAAACCCUGUACUCGGGUCCACAUUGAGUCGCCUGACCAAUUCAGGUCUCAUAUUAGGUAAGAUGCCCAUAGUAACCUGGAUGUUCACGUAAUUGGGUCCAAUUGGUCCUCGCGUCAGAUCGGCUAAGAGGCCCAUAGUAAGACUGCAUUGGGUUGUCCGGCCAAUUCAGGUCUCAUAUUGGAUAAGAGGACCCGGAUUGGAUUCUUGAAAUUAGAUCCAAUUGGCUCUUCGAACCAGGCUCACCCGUCGUGUGAAUUGGUCCUUUUUCUUCCUACUGACUCCCGUUAUUGGAAUCGAACGAAGCAUUUCAGUAUGCCCCGGUGUUGUGUUGUAACACGAGUAUACAGUGAAAAUAAAAAGAAAGGAGAAUUUUAUUAAUAUUUAGGUACCUCGAAUAUUGGGAGCAACGACCAACUCCUAUACAAAGACUGAGUGGCCAGGUUCAGUCACCCAAUUACAAUCAGCCGGGGCAUACUGAAAUGCUCUAUUCAAUUCCAAUAACAGGAGUCAGUAGGAAGAGAAGGACCAAUUCACACGACGGGUUCGAAGAGCCAAUUGGAUCCAAUUUCGAGAAUCCAAUCUAGGUUACUACUCGACUCUUAUCUAAUAUGAGACAUGAAUUGGUCGAUCAACCCAAUGCAAUCUAAUUUCGAGAAAUCCAGGUCUUACUACGGGUCUUAGCCAAUUUGACGUGAGGACCAAUUUGACCCAAAUAUGCGAACAUCCAGGUUACUACGGGCAUCUUUCCCAAUAUGGGACCUGAAUUGGUCGUGCGACUCAAUGUGGACCCGAGUACGGGGUUUUGAUUUUGUUUCAGGCUGUCUUGUUCUCUGUGUCGUUUCAAGGAACGUUGUUUGCGGUAAAUGGAUCUCUUAAAGGUAAAAACGGAGGAGAAGGCCUUGAUGACGUGAGCCAAUUUCAGAUCUAAGCUUUGACGGCGGGAGCCAAUUUCGGAUCUAAGACGGAAGAUUGAAGGAAUUCAAGAGGAUAAGGUUAGGGGGAGAAUAAGUUUGAAGGGGAAUCGGUGGAGCGGCAGAAAGCUUUUGCAAGGUUAUUAGUUCGGUUUUCAUUGGAGGUUUUUUGGAGAUCAAGGAGAUUAGAGAGAGGAGCUUCAUGCUUCGGGUCGGGGAAAGAAAGACAUAGAAUUUGGAUUUUUUUCUUCGUAGAGUUUUGGGAAGACUGAGGCAAUCGCUGCUGAAGUCAGUAUUGUAAUGGUGAAUCGGGAUUUUCAAUGAAGUGGGUUUGAAUACUCUUGACUAUUUUGUGAAAUCGAGUUACGUCUGUGAUUGAAGGAUUAAAAAGGUGUCUAUAGGAUUGAGUAUGCGGAGUGAAUGAAAUUUAUUGGGUUAAUCUAACAAGACAGUCAGUAGAUACAAGAUCGUAAGUACAAAGCGGUAUUGAAGAUUAACAGUUUGAGUUGUUCGGGGUUCUCUGUAACGUCUAGAGACCUAUCGGCUGGGGCAAAAAGGACUUCGACAAGCAGUCAAAGAGCACCCGUAGAGAUUUACGGUACAUUGUUGCAGUCGUUUAUAUUCCAGCAGUCAAAAACUGAUAGACUGCUUGACUAUCGGUGAAUCUCUAUACUACCUUCUAUAGCCAGAUGCCUGGCGCGUUCUCGAGCAGGAAAGCACGUAAUACAACAAAAGUGGUGAAUCCGACGUGAAAGCUUGAGGUAGGAGGUAUUGGAUUUCGGUUGAUUUUAUCUUUAUUUUUAUGGAAAACGAAAAUAAAAAUUUUGAAGGAUUUUUGGGAGGAGUUUCCAGUGGGGAGUCUUCUAAAGGACAAGGUAUGUACAUGGAUCCGUCUAUUGCUAGUUUGUUUCAAGCCUUCUCAUUAUCAAUGCAGCAAAAGUAAAGCAAUGAUCGAAAGGAAGCUUUGGCAACCAAAGCAUUGCAAGCAGUGGUCAAUAAAAUUGAUUUAUUUGAUGGGAGGAAUAUUUCAAGGUAUUUAAGAUGUUAUGUUCGUGAAAUGGAAUUAAAUCGGGUUUCUGGGAAGAAAAUGGUUGCACUAUUUGGACUUGCCACGAUACCCAAGAUAAGAGACCACAUUACAUUGAUUACGGAUCGUUAUGGGAAUUCAUGGGAGGAUUUUUCACAUGCAUUGAAAGACGAAUAUUUCUUAGAAGAUGCUGAUCGCGUUACUAAGAAGCUGUUUUUGUGAUGGAUUGAACGGCCCAAUAAGAAUUUGCAAGCAACAGAGCUACUAAGGGAAUUUGAGAGGCACUACUCUCAAUUGUCGAAGGUAGAAAAAUUGACAUUGGAGCCAAACAAAGUUGAUCUAUUUCUUCAAGCUGCUGAUGGAGAAUUGCAAGAAAAAUUAGAACUCCUUCUUGAAGACAAAGAAGAAGAUGAAGGAUUGACAACGAAGUGGAAGAACGUUGAAGAUGCGAUAGGGUUGCUUACAAAAAAAGAAAGGAGGAAGGAUAGGAGUAAUAUUCCGAAAACAGUACAAGCAUCCAAAGCUCCAGUACGUACAACACCACCAACAAUGCCUACAGUUCAACCUUCGACAUCCUUCUCAAAGAAAGCAGAUAUGGGUAUGGAAGAAAUUAUACGAGGAAUGCGAGAUCUUCAAAUCAAAUUGGCAAGACUUGAAGAGAAUACUUCUAUAAACAAUUCGAAGAUUGUUUCAAAACAAGGAUUCGUACAAAGAUGCAUUUGGUGUGAUGAUACUUCAUACACUAGAAAAGAUUGCAAUGAAUUUAAUAAUAUGAUACGGCAGGGAAUUAUUUGCUGGAAAGAUGGGAAGAUAGCAUUGAAAAAUAGAGAGGAUCUUCUUCAAACCAAUUUUGGCAAGGGAUGAAUGGGAGCAUUGGUUCAAGAUUACUUAAAAGAGCAUGAAACAGUAGCACGAGAAAGUGCAAGUUAUGGUGCUAGAGUAGAUGAUGAAAUUGGUGGAAGUACGAAAACAAGUGAGUUUUGGGCUUUUGCCGUUUCUACAAUGCAAGAAGGGAAAUUACCUCGAGAAGCGCUAUUGAGAACUGCAGCUACAAUACGAGGUAGAACAGGUUGAGAGGAUCCUGUUGAGUCUCUUUCAGUUCAUGCAUAUAUUGCUAAGAGCCAACAUGAAGCUUUGAUGGAAGAAAAAAGACGAGGAAAUUUUGAUGAUACUAGAGAAGGAAAUUCUUUUAAGAGGCAAACUCGAGGAGACAAGGCUCGGGAUGCAGCUUCACAAAAAUUGCCUGUAAAGGAUACCUCAGCAUCAUUGGGAGAAAAAACAAAGGAGACAAAAGAUAAGGGCAAAUCAAUUGCUUAUAAGCUACUUUCUGACAUUGAAGCGGCAACAGAUUUGAAAGGGGUGUUGGAAGAACGUAUAUUAAAUGCUAAGGUGGAAUUCAUAUUGAAAGAAGUCUUGGAAAUUGCAAAGAAGGAGUUUCAUGAUGUUAUCAUUGACAGCAUUAAGCGAAAGAGGCAAUUAAUGGGCGAAACUGGAAUGAGUCAUGCUAUUGAUGCAAGAAUAUGUAGAGAUGAAGAAGAGGUUGAUAUUGGUUACAAGCAACCAACAAAUGAAAAGAAUGGGUAUAAUCAGCCAGAACGUUUUGAAGAUUCUAGUGACAAGGAAAUGGAAACUUUGAGCCAUUAUACUCGAAAGCAUUGGGCAAGGGCAACUACUGAGGUACUAGUGAAGGUAGGAAAUAUAGAAGAACCAAUAGUUACUUUGGUCGACCAUGGUUCUGAAAUAAAUCUCAUGUCUAAAGAUCUUAAUAAGAAGCAAAAAUGGCCAAUUCAUAUGGAACAUGGAUAGGAAAUACGAGCAGCUAAUAACACACGGGGCGAAUUAUAUGGAGCUUGUCCAGAUGUCAAAAUUCGGAUGGGGGAUGUUGCGACGGAGCAACAUUUCUUCAUUCAAGAUACAACGUCUUAUCCGUUGAUUUUAGGACAAUCUUAUAUCACGGCAACACGGAUGGAAACAAAAGUACUUGACGAUGGUUCUGCUUAUGCAAGGAUACUGAGCGAAGAUGGGAGGAAAGCUAUACAAUUUCUAACAAUACCUCCUAACCAUGAACGGAAUCGAGAUAGGUUGAGGGAGAAACCAUUGCCAAAGAUUGUUGAAGGAUUUAAGGAUUUUGGAGAGGUCCACUGUAAAGCGAGAUUAUGGAGGUACAAAAGAGGAGGUACUCUCGCGAGAUGAAGGUGCCUUUGAUGCGAGUUUUAUUGGUAUAUUGGAGAAUGGAAAUAUUAUGUAUAAGAAAGUUGAUGAUUUUAAAAGAAAAGAAAGAAAAAGAUUAUAUAAUAUUGAAGGACAAUUACGCAAGAUAGGUACAUUGUAAGAUGAUGAGAGGAUUUUGGGUGUUUAUGAAGAAAAUGGACUGGAAGAUUCAUUGGAAUUGAUUACAUCUAUUGGGUUAGGGGAUAAUGAUAAGAUUGUUGAGAUUCAUUCAAGAGAGGUUUAUACCAUGUUUGAAUCUUUUCAAGCACCAGAAGUCACAGUAGAGACGAGAUAUAAAAUGGCAGAUAAGAAGGUAAAGCCUGUUGUCGGACCAUUGCCAGAAGAUUCUAAAGAAAAAAUGUGAGAAGCAUCAAAAGAAGCAAGUUUAACAGAUCCAAUGAGUAUUGGACAUCAGUUUACUGAAGAGACUUUUGAAGAAUUGAAGAUUGGUUCUGAUGGUUCUUUAUUGUCGGAGGAAAUUUCUUGCUUCAAAAAGAUGUUGGCUAAACAAGGUAGAUCGUUUGCCUUCGAAUCUCAUGAAAUUGGGUGUGUGGAUCCAAAUAUUAUAACACCUAUGGUUAUCUUCAUUGUACCGCAUGUACCUUGGAAUCUAAGACCGAUUCCAGUACCGAGGGCUCAUUUACCUAAAUUGGUUGAACUAUAAAAAGAAAAGAUAAAGAUGAAAAUAUUAGAACCUUGAUUUGCACCGUAUUCUAGUCGAUGGUUUAUGGUACCUAAGAAGAAUGAGUCACUACGAUUUAUUCAAGAUAUGCAGCCGGUAAAUGCUGUAACUGUCAAGAAUGCAGGAAUUGGACCUAUUGUGGAUGAAUUUGCUGAGGCGUUUGCUGGAAGGGCGAUCUAUUCAAUGGAUGAUUUGUAUUCAGGUUAUGAUCAAUUUCAACUUGCCGAAGGAAGUAGAGAUAUGACAACAAUGAAGAUGCCACUUGGAUUGGUUAGAAUGUGCACUCUUCCUCAAGGCGCGACCAACUCAGUUGUGCAUAUGAUGAAUGGGAUGAAUAAGGUAUUGAGAGAUUUUAUUCCAGAAAAGACUAUACCUUUUCUGGAUGAUGUUCCUAUAAAAGGGUGCAGAGAAGGAGACAAGGAUGAAACUUUAGAUACGAAGGGAUGUCGCAAAUAUGUUGUUGAUCAUAUACAAGAUUGUGAAAAGAUUUUAACUCGGCUUGGAGAAGUUCAUCUUACAUUAUCGGGUAUGAAGUCCGUAUUUGGAAUACGAGAGGUUGUAAUUGUUGGACAUUUAUGUGGAUCUUACGGAAGAAAACCAGAUCCGACUAAAGUUGAUGCAAUUGGAAGGAUGAAAGAGGAUUGUGAUUCUUUAACAGAGGUUCGCAGGUUUUUAGGUGCAUGUGUAUUUUAUCGAAUCUAGAUCCCUCAUUUUGCUUACAUAGCGGAUCCAUUAUAUGAACUAUUACGCAAGGGUUACCGAUUUAAAUGGAAAGAAAGGCAUAUUCAAGCAAUGCAAAGAUUGAAGAAAUUAUUGAUGUCACCUCCAAUAUUGAGGAAGGUUGAUUAUAAGUGCAAUAGACCAGUGAUUCUUACUGUAGACGCUAGUCCAAUUGCCGUUGGAUGGGCUGUGGGUCAAGAUGAUUCAAAUGGGAGUAGAUUUGCAGUUCGAUUUGGGGCUAAAGUUUUAAGUAUUCGUCAGCGUGCAUAUUCGUAAGUCAAAAGAGAACUUUGGGGAGUUGUUUCGGCUAUGAAAGCUGAAAAGGACUAUUUGAUUGGGGCAGUAGUAGUAAUUGAAACAGAUUACUUGCCAUUGCUUGGAAUGAUUAUUAACUGUUCAACGCUAGAUAUUGCAAUGUUGAGAUGGAUUCCUUAUAUUAAGUCACUAAAUCCAGAAUUUAAGCAUGUUACUAGGAAGGACAAUUUAGUAGCAGACAUGCUAUCUCGAGUAAGAUACGAGAGAGAGGACAAAAUGGUUGAAGACAUUGAUGAUGUUGGAUUGAAAUUCUAUUCAAUAUCAAAUCUCAACAGGGAAGACAAGCUAUUUCUUGAAGAAUCUUAUGAAGGAGAAUUAUUGAAUAUUGGUCAUUACUUGAAUACCUUGACUAAGCAAGGGAAUUGGUCUACAAAAAAAUUCAAACAAAUAAUAAAAAAAGCAUAUGGAUUUUUACUUUGAGAUGGAUUCUUAUGGAAGAGACCGAAGAAAGGAAUUGGGAUGCCACAACGAGUGAUAGGCAAAAGGAAAGAAAAACUAAAAUUAUUAAAGGAGUUUCAUGAUAGUUUAUGGGCAGGGCAUGGAGGAAUCUGGGCUAUUUUUGUUAAACUCAAGGAACGAUAUUGGUGGAAAAAUAUGUAUCGAGAUGUGCUCUCAUUUGUAGAGUCAUGUGAAAUCUGUCAAUCGUAUUCUAAUAUCCGACAUCGAGAUGGUCUUCAUCCUACGUAUCCUUUGGCUAUUCAUUUUAAAUGGGUUGUUGAUUUGGUUAUUAUGCCGGUUGGAUUAUAGCAGAUGAGAUAUUUGGUUUUAGCUCGUGAAGAUUUAUCAAAUCAAGUAGAAGGAAGAGCAUUGAGGACAAAAUCUAUAGAGGGGAUUUGUAGGUUAUUGCUUGAAGAUGUCAUUUGCCUUUACGGAUGCGUAGGAAAAAUCACUGCAGAUUGUGGAGAAUUAAAUGCACAAGAAGCUCGUAAGUUCUUUGAAAGAUGUGGAGUUAAAUUAUCACUGACUACUGCUUAUAAUCCAGAAGGGAAUGUAAAAAGCGAACGUGGUCACCCACCGAUUGUGAAAGCAUUGGUUAAAGCUUGUAAUGGAAAAGUUAAACAGUGGCCACGGCUUUUGUCAUUUGCAUUAUGGGCUGAUCGAACAACACAUAGCUCGGUGACAGGAUAUAUGCUAGUAGAACUUAUGACAGGUCAAAAAUCAAUUAUGCUGAUUGAAGAAAAGGUACUUACUUGGAGUAUGCUACCAUGGGAAGAUGGAUUGAUAAGAGAAGAACUUCUGGCUAUUAGGAUUCGACAAUUGGAACAAAGAACAGAAGAUGUGCAGAUAGCAUUGGGAAGAUUGAAAAGAGCAAGGUUACAAAACAAGGCGCGAUUCGAUAAGCAACAUCGAUUGAGACCAAAAGUAGUCGAGGAAGGUGACUGGAUACUUGUUUAUGACAAUAGUCUGGAUAAUCAACAUAGUACUUUGCGGAAAUUCUCAAAACAUUGGUUUGGACCAUAUGUGGUAACAACUGUUCAUGAUAAUGCGACUUACUCAUUACGGGAGUUAGAUGGUACAAAAUUGAAAAUACCAAUUGUAGCGAAGCGAGUAAAAAUAUUUAAACGAAGACACGCAGAGAUGAAUAUGAAAGACCUUAAUGAAGGUAUAGAGAUUCCGCAGCAAGAAGAUGAAAGUGAUUUGGAUAAUGAAGGUGAUGAAGACGAACUGGACAAAGACGUAGAAGAUAUAUUCUGAAGCAAACAGCAAUUGGGUAAAUUGGUGCAUACCGGAGGAUGCACAGGUUCAGAGGGGAUGGAUGUCGUGUUGUAACACGAGUAUACAGUGAAAAUAAAAAGAAAGGGGAAUUUUAUUAAUAUUCAGUUACCUCGAAUAUCAGGAGCAACGACCAACUCCUAUACAAAUACUGAGUGGCCUGGUUCAGUCACCCAAUUACAAUCAGCCGGGGCAUACUGAAAUGCUCUAUUCAAUUCCAAUAACAGGAGUCAGUAGGAAGAGAAGGACCAAUUCACACGACGGGUUCGAAGAGCCAAUUGGAUCCAAUUUCGAGAAUCCAAUCCAGGUUACUACUCGACUCUUAUCUAAUAUGAGACAUGAAUUGGUCGGUCAACCCAAUGCAAUCUAAUUUCGAGAAAUCCAGGUCUUACUACGGGUCUUAGCCAAUUUGACGUGAGGACCAAUUUGACCCAAAUAUGCGAACAUCCAGGUUACUACGGGCAUCUUUCCCAAUAUGGGACUUGAAUUGGGCGGGCGACUCAAUGUGGACCCGAGUACGGGGUUUUGAUUUUGUUUCAGGCUGUCUUGUUCUCUGUGCUGUUUCAAGGAACGUUGUUUGUGGUAAAUGGAUCUCUUAAAGGUAAAAAUGGAGGAGAAGGCCUUGAUGACGUGAGCCAAUUUCAGAUCUAAGCUUUGACGGCGGGAGCCAAUUUCGGAUCUAAGACGGAAGAUUGAAGGAAUUCAAGAGGAUAAGGUUAGGGGGAGAAUAAGUUUGAAGGGGAAUCGGUGGAGCGGCAGAAAGCUUUUACAAGGUUAUUAGUUCGGUUUUCAUUGGAGGUUUUUUGGAGAUCAAGGAGAUUAGAGAGAGGAGCUUCAUGCUUCGGGUCGGGGAAAGAAAGACAUAGAAUUUGGAUUUUUUUCUUCGUAGAGUUUUGGGAAGACUGAGGCAAUCGCUGCUGAAGUCAGUAUUGUAAUGGUGAAUCGGGAUUUUCAAUGAAGUGGGUUUGAAUACUCUUGACUAUUUUGUGAAAUCGAGUUACGUCUGUGAUUGAAGGAUUAAAAGGGUGUCUAUAGGAUUGAGUAUGCAGAGUGAAUGAAAUUUAUUGGGUUAAUCUAACAAGACAGUCAGUAGAUACAAGAUCGUAAGUACAAAGCGGUAUUGAAGAUUAACAGUUUGAGUUGUUCGGGGUUCUCUGUAACGUCUAGAGACCUAUCGGCUGGGGCAAAAAGGACUUCGACAAGCAGUCAAAGAGCACCCGUAUAGAUUUACGGUACAUUGUUGCAGUCGUUUAUAUUCCAGCAGUCAAAAACUGAUAGACUGCUUGACUAUCGGUGAAUCUCCAUACUACCUUCUACAACCAGACGCCCGACGCGUUUUCGAGCAAGAAAGCACGUAAUACGACACCGGCUGACUGUAACGGGAUGACUGAACUUGGCCACUCAGUAUUUGCACUGGAGUUGGUCGUUGCUCUCAAUAUUCGAGGUAACUGAACAUUAAUAAAAGUCCCCUUUCUUUAUAUUUUCACGGUAUACUCGUGUUACAACACGACACCAUGUCAUAAAUUUAGUAUCUAUAAAAUCUUCCAAUUGUAUAAAACCAUUUGGAAAUUCGUCAAUAAUUCAAUAUCGCCCAUGUCAUCAAACUUGAAAUUUUCUUGGAAAUUUUUUAAAUCGACUAUUAUAAAGAAGUACCAAAUUAUUUGGCAUAAGAGCCUUUGGUCUAAGCUUACCAUCAUAAUAAAUCUUCCUUCAUUUUUGUGUAGUUUCUAUUAUCAUUAAUGCAUUGGCUGUAGUUUCAUCUAAUUUUUUUAAUUCUUCUAAAUGGUGCCGUAAUGAAUCCUGAUCUUCCAAUCUAUUAUCUAUAGCAAUUCGUAAACUUUGGACAUCCAAUUCAAUAUGUAAUAUUUCUUCUUGGCCAUAAACCAAUUGAAAAGGGAUAGCAUUGGUAGUAACUUUAUACGCAGUACGGUAUGCCCAUAAAGCUGCGAACAACUUAGUGUUCCAAUCUGUUCCCACUCCUGAAACUGUUUUUGUUAAGAUUUUACAUAAAAUUCCAUUAGUCUUUUCCGUUUGUCCAUUGGCUCUAGAGUGAUACGGUAUAGUCUUCCGAUAUUUUAUCUCAUAUUUAGCCGUGAGUUCUUCGAUUGUACUAUUGAUAAAAUGAGUUCUCCAAACACUAACCAAUUCUUGUGGACAACCAAACCGUUGUCGUGUUAUAACACGAGUAUACAGUGAAAACAAAAAAAAGAAGGAGAAUUUUAUUAAUAUUCAGUUACCUCAAAUAUUGGGAGCAUCGACCAACUCCAGCGCAAAUACUGAGUGGUCAGGUUCAGUCACCCCAUUACAGUCAGCCGGGGCAUACUGAAAUGCUCCGUUCGAUUCUAAUAACGGGAGUUAGCAGGAUGAGAAGGACCAAUUCACACGACGGGUUUGAAGAGCCAAUUGGAUCCAAUUUCAAGAAUCCAAUCCCGGUCCUCUUACCCAAUAUGAGACCUGUAUUGGUGGGGCAAUCCAAUGCAGUCUAGUUACGGGAAAAUCCAGGUCUUACUACGGGCCUCAGCCAGUCUGACGCGAAGACCAAUUUGACCCAAUUACGCAAGCAUCCAGGUUACUACGGGCAUCUUACCCAAUAUGAGACUUGAAUUGGUCGGGCGACUCAAUGUGGUCCCGAUUACGGGGUUUCGAUUCUGUUUCGGGCUGUCCUGUUCUCUGUGCCGUUUCAGAGAACGUUGUUUACGGUAAAUGGAUCUCUUAAAGGUAAAAACGGAGAAAAAGGCCUUGAUGACGUGAGCCAAUUUCGGAUCUAAGCUCUGACGGCGGGAGCCAAUUCCGGAUCUAAGAUGGAAGAUUGAAGAAAUUCAGAGGAUAAGGUUAGGGGAGAAUAUAGUUUUAGGGAGGGAGGUUUUUUUUGGGAGAAUCGGGGGGGAGUUAGUUUUUCAAGCUUUUGCAAGGUUACCAGUUCGGGUUUCAUUGGAGGUUUUUGAAGAUCAAAGGAAUUAGAGAGAGAAGCUUCAUGCUUCGGGUCGGGGAAGGAAAGACAUAGAAUUUGGAUUUUUCUUCUUCGUAGAGUUUUUGGGAAGACUAAGGCAAUCGCUGCUGAAGUCAGUGUUGUAAUGGUGAAUCGAGAUUUUAAAUGAAGUGGGUUUGAAUACUCUUGACUGUUUUGUAAAAUUGAGUUACGUCUGUGAUUGAAGGAUUAAAAGGGUGUCUAUAGGAUUGAGUAUGCGGAGUGAAUGAAAUUUAUUGGGUUAAUCUAACAGGACAGUCAGUGGAUACAAGAUCGUAAGUACAAAGGGGUAUUGAAGAUUAACAAUUUGGGUUGUUCGAGGUUCUCUGUAACGUCUAGAGACCUACCGACUGGGGCAAAAAAGACUUCGACAAGCAGUCGAAGAGCAUCCGUAUAGAUUUACGAUAUAUUGUUGCAGUCGUUUAUAUUCUAGCAGUCAAAAACUGAUAGACUGCUUGACUAUCGGCGAAUCUCCAUACUACCUUCUACAGCCAGAUGCCCGGCAUGUUCUCGAGCAGGAAAGCACGUAAUAUGACACCGUGUAAUAAUAUUUUCAUACAAAAAGGUUUCUACUGUACUUGCACUAUCAAUUUUCAUAGCUACUGCUUCAGUCCUUUUUGUUACGUAAUCCGUUACUUCUAAUAUAUACCAUUUUUGCCCAUUUCUCGAGGCUAGUGUAAUUGGUCCCACAAAAUCAAUUCCCCAUUUUUCAAAAGGUGCUUGAGCCAAAAAUGGUACUAAUGGCAUUGCUGAAGUUCCAGUAGGUCGACCCGUUCUCCAACAUAGGUCACAAUGAUGGACAAAUUGGUGGGCAUGUGCAAACAUUGUUGUCCACCAAUAACCAGCUUGUAAAGCUUUACGAGCCGUGUUGUCCCCCACAAAAUGUCCACUACAACUGUCCAAGUAGCAACCUUUCAAUAUAAUAUACACUUCAGUCUAAUAAAUACAACAUCGUAAAACUCCGUCCUUACCUUGUUUAUAUAAAGCUUCACCAAUCAUCGUAUAAGGUACACAUUUUAAUAUUAAGCAUCGUUUAAGCUUUUCAUUGAAAUUGGGUGGGAAGGUUUGAAAUGUCAAGUAUUGAAUUAUUUCACUAUACUCUAGAGUAAUUACAUCUAUUACAAAUAGUUUUGCAUUGGGUAGUGCAUCGUUAAUGGAUUCAUUAUCCAAUAUAUUGGAUAACCGAGAUAAAUGGUCCACAUUGGAAUGUGAUUUUCCUGAUCUUACUUGAAUAGUAAAGUCAAAUUCUUGCAAGAGUAGAAUCCAUCGUGUAAUAUGACCACUCAAGUGAGGCUUAUUAAUCAUAUAUUUUAAAGCAUCAUGGUCAACAAGGAAAAAAAAUUUAUAACCAAGAAGAUAAUGUCGAAACUUUUGUGCGGAAUAAAUCAUUCCCAAUACUUUUCUUUCAGUUGUUGUAUAAUUUCUUUCAACUGCUACCCAUUGACGACUUGCAUAAUAAAUAGGGUGAUCAAAAUCCCAGUCAUUUUUCUGGCUUAGCACAGUACCAAUUGCAGCAUUAGAUGCAUCCACAUAAACUUAGAAUAUUUUUGUCCAACAAGGUGCCACCAAUAUUGGUGCUGAAACCAAUUUUUGUUUCAAUGUUUCAAAUGCAAUUGUACAUUCCUUUGUCCAAAAUGGACUGGUCCCAUUGAUUGGUGGUUUCUUCAAGAGAUUUGUCAAAGAAAGGUAUAUAAUUACGAAUAGAUAGAUAAAUCACUGAUAAUAACUGACAUGGCCAACAAAUGCUCGAACACCUGUAACAGUGUCUAAUUGCUUUAAUUCUAAUAUAAUCUUUAUUUUAUCUGGAUUUGUAGCAAUGCUUGCCAUCAAAACUAUAUGAUCCAAUAGUUUACCAGAAGGUAUAUCAAAUUGAUACUUUUUCAAAUUUAAAGAAAUUCUAUAUUUGGCACAUUGAUUCAAACAUUGACCUAGACAUUCUAAAUGUAUGUCUCUUGUACUAAAUGUACAAAAAUCAUCUAAAAAUAUUUCCAUUGAAAUUCGUAGAUAAUCUUGGAAUGCUUGUGUCAUUAUCCUUUGAAAUGUAGUUGGUGCAUUACAAAGCCCAAACGGCAUAACCUUAUAGGCAAAGGUCCUCCAAUCCAUAAUAAAAGUAAAUUUUAACUAGUCUUCUUUUGCAAUCUUAACUUGAUCAAACCAGAGAAUCCAUCAAGAAAUGAAACACAUUCAUGUCCAACGACAGCAUCCAAUAUACUAUCUAUGAAUGGUAAAGGAAAAUAAUUCCUCUUAGUAGUUGCAUUUAAUUUUUGAAAAUCUUGAUACAUGUAAACUUUUCCAUUCUUUUUCGGUACCAUAACAAUCGGUAAAACCCAUUCACUAAAAAGAACUAGAUAGAUAAAUCCAACCUCCAAGAGUUUAUUCAGUUCUUCUUUUAACAUAAGUGAGUAUUUUGGAUUAAGUUGAUGUUGUCUUUGGUAUACUGGUAUAGCGUUCUCUUCCAAUAUAAUUUGAUGCUCACAAACUUCAGCUAGAAUUUCUUUCAAAUCCGCAUAUGACCAUGCAAAAGUAGUUUUAUGCAUCAAAAAGUAAUCCAUCCAAAUUUCUUUCUCAUUGCUUUUUAUACCAUCGUAAAUCUGAAUGAUUUGGGGAGCCUACCCUGUACCUAAAUUAAUUGGUUGACAUCGUGGAAUUUCAGAAGUCCAUGGACUGAUGUUCUGCUCAAUUCUAAAAUCUUUCAUAAAAUUCGACACAUUAGAACUUUCCAACUCCAGUUCCAUAGCACUAACGUGAUUAACAUCCCAUCUAUUCAUCCAAUAUGCAAUCAUAUGAUCAGAAUCAUCAAUAAUAUCUGGAAAAACUAAGUACUCUUUCGAUCCCCUGCAUUGGUAGUUUACUCUAGUAUACUCGACAACUUGCCUUGUAUCAGCAUAAAUUGGAGCAGGUGCACCAAUUUCUUCUUCUAUAGACUCAUCUUCACAAUCCGACGUGAAUUUUGAACUUACAACUUGAGUUUUUUUGUAAUAUUGGACUGGGUAUAUUCAAAGCACAAUUUUAUCAUUACCUUUUUUAAUUGUCAAUGUACUAUAGCCGUAGUCAUUUUGAACUUUAGCUUGAUUCAACCACGGUUGCUCCAAUAAAAUUGGAUAUGAGAAUAUAGAGCUUUGCAAUCAAAAAAUAAUAUAAUCAAUUUUAUAGGUAAUCCCCAAAUUUACUGUAUCAAUACUUCGUAAAAUAUCUAUAGAUUUAACUCGACUAAAGUCAGCCAUUCGCAAAAUCACUGUAAUAGGCAGUAAGUGAUCUAAACCCAACUCCUAUAUUGUAGCGGCAUUCAUAAGAUUUAUACUAGAUCCUCCGUCUACUUGCACUCCUAAUAAUAAUACUCCAUCAAUUGAGACAUUAAUCGUAGGUGCACAUAGAUCGGGAUUCAAACUUACUUCUCGGAUUUCUUUAUUUCAAGAUCUAUGAAGAAUUAAUGAAAAAUUCAAGAUAGUUCGACACUCAGGUGCUACCGCCAAUAAUUGCUUCAUGGAGAUCGUGGACUAUAUGGUUCCCAAAUCUUUUAGAAUAUCAUAUGGUUCUAUAUUAGUAGUAAUUCUCAAUGUCCAUUUUUUCUUCCCAGUCUUAAACACCGACACAGGUAAAUUAGUUUUUUCUAUAUUGGAAAUUGAUAAAGCUCCUGGAAUUGAAUUUGAUAGAGUCUGUAAAAUCAACUCUUUCAAUAGGUAAGAUUGUUCUCUCAAUUGGGCUGAUAUUGGUUCUUUGGAAUUCAUGCGUCUUAAAGAUCUUUCAAUGGAAAGGAUAUUUUCCUAAACUGUGUAGAGAACGAAACAACUCGACAUGGAACCGAAGCCUCUGUAAUUGGUACCUCAUUGAGAUGCACAACCGAUUCAGGUCUUACAUUGAGUAAGGGACCCAUGUCAGGACAUGGAUUGGAUGUCCUCGUAAUUAGAUUCAAUUAGUCCUUUGCUUCAAGAUCACCCAAAUGUUCAAUUGGUCAUUUUUCUUUUUGUUGACUUCUUGUAAGGACAGCUUGGAUUACUUCUACCUGAUGAACUGGUGAAUCUUAAGGACCUUGAUUUAUCUCCUCCAUUUUUCCUUAGCUUUGGAUCUGUUGAUCUCGAUUAUUGAAAUUGAAUGGAGCAUUACAUUGCUGAUAAGUAUGUCCCGACUGCUUGCAAUUUACACAUACUAGAGCAUAAUUAUCACUGGCUCUAGGAUUGGGACAUUCACUAGCAUAAUGACUAAUCUGUUUGCAACGAAAACAACAAAGUAGUCUUCUUGCACCUCCAUCCGACAUAUUAGGUGUCUCCACUAGUAUAUACCUACUAGGCUUGUUCCAUGUAGGAUUAGAAAAUGAUCUUGAUUGUCCCGUAGGAUACUUGGUUCGAUGACACCGGUAGAGUAUAUUGCUAAUACCUCUGCUGCUCCUUCUUGUAGUUCUGAGAUUUUGAUUCAAACCUCUAAUUAAAAUUGGAACUAUGAAAAUUAUUGAAUGUUCAAUUUUAUCGAUUAGAUCGAUUUUCAUUCCAUGCACACGUAUUUUUUGUUUGAACUUGAUUGACUUUCUAUUGAGUCGAUGGAAUCAUGGUUUGAUUACUAAAUUAUUAUUGUCUUUGUAAAUGCUAGCAGUUUUGGGUAGGGUGCUUUCCUCUACAAAAUAUACAUUGAACACACGUUUAUCUGGGUGAUGGACAUUCCGUAUCAAAAUGACCUUGUUCCUUACAAUUAUUACACCAUACAUUAGGUCUCGUAUUAAAAGGCUUAUGUCAUUUCUCCUUAUCUUUAGCCAAAUUCAAGGCCAAUUCUUCCAUCUUCUUUAUUAGAUUUAAUAACAAGGCUUCAUUUGGAUCUUUAAUAGUUUCAUUUGUGAACAACUCCAGUUGUUGAUAGGUUGGCGAUGUAAAAUAAGGUGUCAUCAUUAUUGGCGCUAUUGCUUAGAGUGGUAUAGCAUUAAUUGGUUGUUGUAAUAUAACAUUCUUCACAUUGGAGGCAGCCAUUUGUGGAUAAUUAUCUAUUGACACAUUUCCCAAUUAUAUUUGUUGGCUUCCUGAAUUUGGAAUCAUCGUGGCUUUCACUGUUAACAAUUGGUCAUAAUGACAUUCUUUCUACAUCUUUGUUCAUGCCAAUGAUGCCUCUACCAUAAUAGAUCGAGCCUCUUUUACAAACAUUUUCAAUUCAGGUAGAUACUAACCGUUAAUUAAUAUCGACAAUAUAAACGCAUCUAGCAUUUGAUUAUUUGACCAUUUACAAAGUAUAUCCAUGAUCUGGCCAUAAUAGGACUCUAUGGAUUCCCUCUCAAUCAUCUUACAAUUCAUAAAACUUUCUCUAAGUCGAUCUUCAAAUCUAAUUGGUCUAAAAUGGAUUAAGAAGGCAUUCUUCAAGGCCUCUCAAUUAGGAAAUCUAUCCACUAGUUGUCAAAUAUACCAUUCAAAAGCUGUAUCUUUUAAAUUUAUUAACAAUCAUCUCAACCAAAUGUCUUCAGUUCUACCAUUAUUAGCCACGUAUACUUUCAAGAAUUGAGAUAUAUGGUGAUCGAGAGCAGAGCCCGACCAACUACUAAAAGUAGUUAAUGGUGCCACACUUGUAGUUCGAUCUCCUACUGCUCCCAUUUAUACUGCAAUUGAUACUUCUGGCACUCCCGUGGCUAUUGGUAUUAUCACUGGUCUCCUUAUUAUUUGAAUCUGAAUUUUUCUUCUUUUGAUUUUUUUUGGACCUGCAAUUCUUUUUGGUCGUUCCCAUAGGCUAUUUCUUAUGCAUAAUUGCUCUUGCCUUUCUUUCACUUGUUGAUUAUAUCUUUGAUAAUCCUCUCCUCCGUAAUUAUCACUCAUAAUCUUUCAUUCUUCUUUACAAAAUCAAUACAGCCUUGAAUUAUAAUUCAUAUAUUUGUAACCCUAAAACUGGUUCUUCUCACAUUCUCAUUCAACAUAUAAUUCCAUCUCCCAUACAAUCAAUUUCUAACAUUUCAUAUUAUUAUCAUUUCCCUGACAGCGGUGCCAAAGUGUUGUUUUCAUUGCGUUCAAGCUUCAGUAGACCAAAGCAAUUGAACUAAUAGAGGUGGGUUCGAAUACGGGGAAAGAUUAGUUCUAUGAAUUGGAUCUGUUAAUGUGACAAUUGAUUGUAUUCUGGCUAUCUGAAAUCAAGUAUCAAACUACAAAAUAUCGAGGCUUACUACUUCCAUCUUAAUUCAAUCCAUAAUCCAUUCUACGAUUAUCAAUUCAACAAUACUUCUCUCAAUCACCAUUCUUCAUAAUCAAAUAAUAAAGAAAACAAAGAGGUAGUACCAAGCUUACCCCGACUUAUGACUCUCAGUUUGGCUCUCAAUCUCUUUUUCUUCAACCUAUUUAUCCUACCAAAAAGAUGAUCUGUCGGCCAACGGAUUCCAAAGGUUAUGAUCCUUUGAAUUCUUAAUCAUUUAUUCUACUAACAACCUAUUGUUACCAACUAAACUGCCUAACCAUCAGUCUAAUUUUCAGGGUUGUCAAUAACCAACCAGUAACUUACCACAAAGUUUAUUUAUCUAUUCUAUAGGGAGAUUCAAUACUAGUUUGAAGUUUUCUAUGUCACAUCUUGUAUUUUUAUUUUUUUGUGUUGAUAUUUAUAAAGAAGCUAGAUAUAAUUGUAAACUUUUUAAUAAGCUAAAGCACUAAGAAAUAGAGCUAAGAAGGAGUUUCAAGCAAAUUUAUAAAAAGGGGGUUGCUAGAAUUUUCAAGAGGGAGAUUCAACAUUGAUUUGGGAUUUUUUAUGCCACUUCUUGCAUUUUUAUUUUUUUGUAUUGAUAUUUAAAGAAAAGCUAGAUUGGAUUGUAAGCUUUUUAAUAAGCCAUAGCAUGUAAAAAAUGAAGCUAUAGAGAAGGAAAUCUAAGCAUAUUUGUAGGAAGAGAUUGCAAGAGUUUUCAAGCAAAAAAUUUCAAAACUAAAUUGAGGUUAUCUAUGCCAUUUAUUGGAUUUUUUUUUCUUUAUUUUAUUUUCAAUGAGCUAAAAUUUAUUUAAAUUGAAUUAAUAAUAAGUGAAUCAUAGAUAUUUUUGUAAAAGAGGGUUUGGAUUUGAGAUUAGAAUUAGAGAUUGGCUGCAUCCUAGUACAAGAAUAAAAUUAAUCUAUAAAUUAUACCUAGCCUUUAAGCUACUCUUAAUAUUUGAUUUUAUUUGGAUUAAUAUUGUACCUUCUUGUAACCUACUUAUGAUCAAAGUCAUUUUUUUCUUCUAAUAAGGCUUGUCUUCUUAAUAACAUUAAAAAUAUAUAAAAAAUUUCAUCCUAAGAGUAUUAACAAGCUUGUAAAGAUUUGUAAUAGUUACAUAUCUAUUUUUAUUUUUUUGAGUGCAACAUAUAUAAUUUUUUUUCUAUCUUUAUAAUAAAUGACUUUAAUAAAUCUACAAGUCAAAUUAAAAGAUGGUAAUUUGUAAUUUCUAAUAUUUAAAAUAAAAUUAGAUAUAAGAAAGGCAUUCAUAAGAAUAAAGAAAGCUUUUGAAAUGGGACUAUAUUCUCUUAAAGAUCCAAAAUCCUUUUCGUCUAUAGAAAUAUAAAUUCCAUCACAAAAUAGAAUAAAAUAGAUUAGAAAAAAAUUAAAUAAAACUAAAUAGAAUAGAACAUGAAAGAUAAAAUAGAUCAAAAAAAUUGGAAUAGAACAGAAUAAAAAAUACAAAUAAAACUUUAUUGAAAAAAAACAAAGCAAUAAUUGACCAAAUGCCUCAAAUGGCCUUAAUUAGUCCUAUUUAUAUUUUUUCCAACCAUCUUAAAACUUUUUAGAAUAUUGUUAAUGGAAGGUCCUACUAAAAUAAAUCUUUUUAGAAGAUUUUAGAUAUGAGCCAUAUCUUAAUAAUUGUUCUUUUAGAAGGUUCUAAAAAUGGAUCUUACCUUAUUAAUUAUCCUUCUAUAAGGUUUUAGAAUGUGGGCCUUACUUGAAUGACUACUUUUAAUUCUUCUAUGAUGUUCUAUAGUAGAUCCCAUAUAAACCACCAACCUAAUUCUAAUUCAAAUUAUUUCUAGAAAUUUUUCAAAAAUAGUCCCAAUUACCUACUCCUAUAUAUUAAUAAUAUAAUUAUCUAAUCUAUAUCUCAUUACAAUUAAUUUCCUUCCACUAAUACAAAACGUCCUUGUUUUGCUUCCAAUGAUACCUUUAGAUUAUUUUUUAUUAAUGGGUAAGGUUAUGUAUAAGUUUUCACAUUAGAUGUAUCUCAACAUGUGUAUGUUGAUUGCACAUACUAUCAUGUGUUGUAGUAAUAAAGCAUUGCAUCUGUUCUGUUGCAUCUAUCAUCUCCAAUGUGCCAGCUUUGUGCAUAUCAUCAACUGUGGUGUUGCUACAGACUAGUGCACUCCCAUUAGUACAUAUCAACAGAGGUCUACUGUAUCUACCUCUAGUUGUCUGAAUAUGUAUUUCUUUAUCUCAUGAGUAGUAUGCGGAUACGAGCAUGAAUGCUUCUCCCUUUCUCUUGUAUGCCUUUAUACUUCUAAGUAUGCUGUCCUUUGAUGUCCUUGCAACAAACAGUCCAUUGAUAAACAGAGCAUCGUUCCCUUGUGGCAAUACACCAAGAUGAUUUAAGACAUCAUCUGGAUCAACGUAAGGUGUUAUUGUACAUGUUGAUGACAAGUACUUAACAGCGCCUACAUCAGGACCCUCUGUUGUUUCACAAGGACAUAUAUAUCCAAGCUGAGUUGGAUGUAUUUGUCUCAUUAUAGCACUUGCUCUUUCUUUGGAACUAAUCUCAACUCUCCUAACAUGAGACAAUGAAUGAAGAGUUGACUUUGAUGACAAGACUUGAGAUAUAGUUCUUUUGUUAUCACCUUGGGUGUAGCCUUCCCAUACGCCUGUCUUAAAGUUGUUUUGGAUAUCCUUUGAUAUUCGAUUUAGUGCGCUUACUAUCACUGCUUUCUGCUUACUGUUGCUUCUUAUCUUUUGCUGAUUCAGCUUGUUGAUCCUCUUCUCUAUGCACCUCUUUACAAUGUCCGCUGGUGUAUGCACACAUUUAAAGCUCAAGCAGUCCCUAUCAUCUUCUUGUCUGAGUGAUAGUAUAGUUUCUAUAAACCUGCAUAUCAUCAACGAUAGCAUCUUUACCUUCUUGUCAUCAUUAAGAGUUGCUAAGAUUCUUUCUGUUGAAUGUACGACGUUACUAUCAAGCGUAGUAGCAUCCAAUUGUAAUUCUAAAAGAAGUCCUGAUACUUCCUUUGGAUGAUCGGUCCAUGAUAAUAUCUCUCGUUUUGCACUAGCAAUGGUCUUUCGAAGGACUUUCAUUACAGCAAAGAUGUUCACAAGGUUGUUAUGUGAUAGAGAGACCUUUAAUACUCCGUUGACCAUAUAGAUUUCGCAAUGACAUUUUGAUAGUUGUAGCUCACACUUUUCUUUUCGUGCUAGGUACCUGAAGGUGUAGUUUCUCUCUUGACACAUAAGGACCUUCCUUCUUCCUUCUAUAACAAACGAUCCUCUUAUAGCUGAUGCUUCCUCUAAAGGUUUAUAGCAGCAACCAAUAGGAACAGGGAUGGUGAGUACUACUCUAUCAUCUGCUAUGAUGCUACAUUCGUAUGUACUUAGAGUGUUGAUACACUCUUGAUACAUCUUCUGAUUGGAAGAGACAUACACGUUAUUGAAGAUCUUACUAUUAUCAACUAUUAUGUUCCUGAUUAGAUCUACAAUGUAGAGCAUCAUAAUGUCAUACAGCUUAACAAUGCCGCUGUCCAUUCCAAUGCUUUCUAUAAACCUUGAUAGACUCAUUUAUUGUGCCUCGUAUGUAUCAGGUGUGAACAUAACUACGAGCGCGAGUAUCUCACAUAAUUACCUUUAGUUAUGUAUGUAUAACUUUCUUUUUAAUUUUUUAUACAGUUAGUGCUAGUAAGUAUUUACCAAUACCACAAUGGCUAGCCAGCUCGAGACUAUAUCCUUCUCGUUCUACUCUAUGGAGGAGAUCACUCAAAUAUCUUCAAUACGAAUUAGUAAUAAAGAUGAUAUAGGUUCCCCUACUCUAGGAACAGGAGCUUUGAUAUACUGUUCUGUAUGUUCUGAUCCAAGACGUUGUCCAGGACAUACAAGAUUUAUACAAUUCAAAGAACCAAUAUUUAAUCCAUUAUGUUUAAAAGAAAUAAUAAAAGUCGCAGAGAUGGUAUGUCCUAGGUGUAGAUCAUUUAACUCUAUAGGAAAGGUCAAAGGGAAGAAAGUAUGUUCUAAUUGUAACGAUUACGCAAGAGUGUAUACGUUUGAUCCAAAGAAGAUGUCUCUUGUUGAUAAGAAGGAACCAAGCUAUACUAUAUCAGCAGCUGUUCUGAAAAAUAUAUUUAGUGCUUUGUCAAACGAUCAAAUAAGAUUUAUGAGCUACAACCUAUCGAGUCCUAAAGAUUUCAUAAUGAAUCAUAUACCUGUUGUUCCUAAUUGCAUAAGACUCUCUUCAGGACUUGAGGACAGCCUCGCUAGACUGUACAAUUCAAUACUAAGAAACAAUGGUAAUGCUUAUGUUGUAUACAAAGACUACUAUACAAUAAUAGAAAAGGAUUCAUUUGAAAAUAAUGAAGGGUCUGUAAUAAACAGAAUAUCUGGAAAGCAAGGUACAUUUAGAAGAUACAUUCUUGGUAAGAGAAACAAGCAUUGUGCAAGAGCUGUGAUAACUCCUGAUUCCAAUAUAGAUGUUGAUGAAGUAGAUAUUCCUUUGUCUUUUUGUAAUAACCUUAAAGUACAGAAAGAUGGAGAUUACGUACUACUCAAUAGACAACCCUCUCUUCAAAGGAUGUCCCUUAUGGCUUUUAGAGCAAGGAUGAUGCCUGAUUCUUGUACCAUAAGAAUCAAUCCAUCUGUCUGUCCAGCAUUCAAUGCAGACUUUGAUGGAGAUGAGAUGAACAUAUUUUGUGCAUCGUCAUACCCAUCUAAAGCAGAGUGUGAUGUACUCCUUGCUGUUGACAAGUGCAUCCUGUCACCCCAGAAUUCGAUGCCUACUGUAUAUGCAAUACAAGAUACAGUUACAGGAGCGUUUAUGAUGUACAAGAUGAAUAAGCUAUUAAAGCGAUCAACGCUGUAUGACUGUAUCAUGGUGUCUCAUGUUCAUCUUGAUAUUACUAACAUACGUACUUCAAGAGAUAUUAUAUUUAUGCUUAUCAAGUUAAUAAGCAACGAUAGCAAUCUAGUAAUCAAGUCGCUCACAUCUAGUACAAUAAGAAACAUAAUAAAGAGUAUAUUCAUAAGCAAAGGUGGACGUGAUACUUUAAUGUUUCUAGGAUCACUACAGAGAAUUGUUGAUCGCUAGUUUCUCGAGGAAGGAUUAAGUGUAGGAUAUGAUGAUUGUGUAAAUAAGGUUAGCCCUAUUGCUAUAGAGGCUGUAGAUAUAGAUGAUAAGAAUGUGGAUGUCGUUCUUAAUAAUAUUAGAAAUGUAAGCCAACGAUUAGUAGUAGAAUCUGUCGAUAAAAAUAAUCCACUUUUUACAAUGAUAGAGAGUGGGUCCAAAGGAAGCUUUGUUAACCUGGGACAGAUAUCUUCAUUAGUAGGUCAACAAUGGAUAAGAAGAAAAAGACCAGCGAGGGUACUACCAGGUGAUAGAGCUUUAGCAUGGUGCAGCCCAUACGACAGUUCAUUACAAGGACAAGGAUUUAUUAAUAGUUCAUAUUCACAAGGACUUAAUCCUAUCGAGUACUUUUUCCAUUGCCCAAGAGGUAGAGAAGGACUAGUUAAUACUGGUGUAAACACUUCUGAUGCUGGAUAUAUACAAAGACGUAUAUCAAAGUCAAUGCAAGAUGUAACAACACAGUACGAUGGUACUGUGAGAGAUGGCACAGACACUGUGCAGUUCUGCUAUGGAAGAGACAACUCAGACAAUAGUAAGGUAUAAAAAAAAAAUUAUAUUUGCCACUUGUUAUGACAUUCAGAACAUUCAAACAUCGUAGUCAUACCUUCAUCAGCUGAUCUCUUCUGAACAUCAAUGGAUAUUGUCUUCUUGCUUUUGCAUUUAAGACAUUGCUCUGCACCUUCUUCCACGACAGCAACUGUCCUUUUCGAAUCUGUAUCGAAGAAGAUAGUGUUAUUGAUAUCCUCAUAGCAGUUGAUACUUGGUACUUUAAUGUCUCUUUUGAUCAUACAUUCAAUAUUAAAUUCGUACCAUUUGAUCAUGUCUUUGUCACUACCUUCUAGAUGGGAAGAGUUCAUUGUCUCGAUGGCAGAUGAGCUAGACGAGAUAGUUACUAUCUUGAAGAGGGAGAUAGAUAAUGGAGUUAAAAUAUUUCCGGCACUGAAUGAUGUAUUAAGAGCUUUCUAUGAAACACCAUUAAGCGAUGUAAGAGUGGUGAUACUUGGUCAGGAAGCAUACAAAGGUAUUGGUAAGGCCAAUGGAUUAUCCUUCUCUGUCAAUAAAAGCUAUCCAGUUCCUCCAUCACUAACAAAUAUAUUUAAAGAGAUAUCUGAUGAAAUAAAAAGCUUUCAUAUACCUCCUCAUGGUGAUCUUACUAAAUGGUGCAAGCAAGGUGUACUGCUUUUAAACUCAACAUUAACAACUGAGAGUGGAUCGAAUAGGAGUCACGAUGCUUUAUGGCAACGAUUUACAAAGAUAUGUAUAAGAUUAUGUUCUGCAAAGGGAGGAGUAGUAUUCGUUUUAUGGAAAAAGACUGCAUCUACUUUUGAUAAGGAGAUUGAUACAUCAAAGAAUAUAAUUCUUAAAGCAGCACAUCCAUCACCAUUUAGUGCAAGCAAAGAAUUCUUCGAUUGUAACCACUUCACGAUUAUAAACGAUCUCUUAGAUACUCCCAUCGAUUGGAAUCUAUGAGUAUAUCAUCACUCGAUGAGGAAGAUGCUAGGGAAUAAUUGGAUGUAUUGCCAUUCUCCAUAAAGCACUUUAAUAUUGGUCCAGAGAUGGCAAGAGCUGUUGAAAGGAUACUAUGCGGUAUUGAAGCUCGCGAUAUGAACAUAACGCUUCUCGUUGCUGCAGCUGUUGUAUUAGUAAAGUGUGGAGAAAGGAUAGACAUGCGAUUCUCUAUGCUCUAUAACGAUGUUAUCAGUGACAUUGUUGAUACUGAUCCAAACAUAUCUGGUUCUAAGUUUUAUGAUAAGACUACAAUCAAAAAGAACAUUCUUAGGUAUUGCAGAUUCAUAUUAUUUAAGUAAUAUGAUUCGAGUUAUAAAGGAGAUGAUACGAGAUAGAGGAUAUGUACCUAAUGAUAGUACUGUUGAGUCCGAUGAAAGGAUGGGCCCAUAUGCAGGACAAGAGAAUGACCUUGUGGUACUAUUAGCAAGAAACUUUGUAGAUAAGAAUCCCUUUGGAACAAAUACAAACGUUCUUACAAAGAAAGAUAUAUCAAACUUCACGCUUGAGUAUUACAAAUCUGUACAAGAGGAUAUCAUAGAGUUUGCUACUAUAAUAGUAAUGCCAUCAAGUACCCUUGAUGCUUCUAUAUUUGAGGGUGAUAUAUCUGUAUAUGGUACAACAAUGUUUAUUGAAGAAGAGCUUAUGUUCAACCCUACAUCUAAUGUGCUUGUACCAAAGCACUGUAUUGCAUCGAGUUCAGAACUACAAGAAAUGAAGGAGAAAGGAAUAUCUCAUAAUAGCCUACCAAAGAUAUAUGCUGAAGAUCGAAUAUGUAAGUGGUACGGAUUUAAAAGAGGUGAUAUAAUAAGAAUAGAAAGAGAUUACUGCAAUGAAGUUUACUACAGAAUAGUAAUAUAAAAAAGUAAAAAAUAUUGAUGUAGAAAGAUACUUUUUACACUGGUGUUAUUUUUUUAUGCUUAUCAAGAGACAUGGAUUCUUAUAUGAUAAAAGAGGUAACCUUAGUGUGGUGCAUUGGCGAUACAGAUGGAAAUACACUUUUUGAUACAAUAUGUGUGUCUGAAGAUGUGCCUCUUGUCGAAAGACAUGUUGGUGACUAUCAAUGGUACAAGGACUUCUAUCCUGUAAUGGAAGUCGACAACACAUUAAAAGGUAAAGAUACACAUCUUAUUACGUUGUCGUGUUGUAACACGAGUAUACAGUGAAAAUAAAAAGAAAGGAGAAUUUUAUUAAUAUUCAGUUACCUCGAAUAUUGGGAGCAUCAACCAACUCCAGUACAAAUACUGAGUGAUCAGGUUCAGUCACUCCGUUACAGUCAGCCGGGGCAUACUGAAAUGCUCCGUUCGAUUCGAAUAACAGGAGUCAGCAGGAAGAGAAGGACCAAUUCACACGACGGAUUCGAGGAGCCAAUUGGAUCCAAUUUCGAUAAUCCAAUCCGGGUCCUCUUAUCCAAUAUGAGACCUGAAUUGGCCGGUCAACCCAAUGCAGUCUAAUCACGGGAAGUCCAGGUCUUACUACGGAUCUUAGCCAAUCUGAUGCGAGGACCAAUUUGACCCAAUUACGGGAACAUCCAGGUUACUACGGGCAUCUUUCCCAAUAUAGGACCUGAAUUGGUCAGGCGACUCAAUGUGGUCCCGAUUACGGGGUUCGAUUCUGUUACAGGCUGUCCUGUUCUCUGUGCCGUUUCAGGGAACGUUGUUUUCGGUAAAUGGAUUUCGUAAAGGUGAAAACGGAGGAGAAAGCUUGACGGCGAGAGCCAAUUUCGGAUCCAAGCUUGAGGUAGGAGCCAAUUCCGGAUCUAAGACGGAAGAUUGAAGAAAUUCAGAGGAUAAGGUUAGGGGGGGAUAUAGUUUUGAGGGGGGAGGUUUUUUUCAGUGGGGAAUCCGGGGGAGCGAGUUUUCAAGCUUUUGCAAGGUUACUAGUUUGGUUUUCAUUGGAGGUUUUUGGAAGAUCAAGGGAAUUAGAGAGAGGAGCUUCAUGCUUCGGGACGGGGAAGGAAAGACAUAGAAUUUGGAUUUUUCUUCUUCGUAGAGUUUUAGGAAGACUGAGGCAAUUGCUGGUGAAGUCAGUGUUGUAAUGGUGAAUCCGGAUAUUUAAAUGAAGUGGGUUUGAAUACUCUUGACUGUUUUGUGAAAUCGAGUUACGUCUCUGAUUGAAGGAUUAAAAGGGUGUCUAUAGGGUUGAGUAUGCGGAGUGAAUGAAAUUUAUUGGGUUAAUCUAACAAGACAGUCAGUGGAUACAAGAUCGUAAGUACAAAGCAGUAUUGAAGAUUAACAGUUUGGGUUGUACGGGGUUCUCUGUAACGUCUAGAGACCUACCGGCUAGGGCAAAAAGGACUUCGACAAGCAGUCGAAGAGCAUCCGUAUAGAUUUACUGUACAUUGUUGCAGUCGUUUAUAUUCCAGCAGUCAGAAACUGAUAGACUGCUUGACUAUCGGCGAAUCUCCAUACUACCUUCUACAGCCAGACGCCCGGCGCGUUCUCGAGCAGGAAAGCACGUAAUACGACAAAAAGUGGUGAACCCGACGUGAAAGCUUGAGGUAGAAGGUAUUGGAUUUCGGUUGAUUUUAUCUUUAUUUUUAUGGAAAACGAAAAUAAAAAUUUUGAAGGAUUUUUGGGAGAAGUUUCUGGUGGGGAGUCUUCUAAAGGACAAGGUAUGCACAUGGAUCCGUCUAUUGCUAGUUUUUUUCAAGCCUUCUCAUUGUCAUUGCAGCAACAGCAAAGCAAUGAUCGGAAGGAAGCUUUGGCAACCAAAGCAUUGCAAGCAGUGGUCAAUAAAAUUGAUCAAUUUGAUGGGAGGAAUAUUUCAAGGUAUUUAAGAUGUUAUGUUCAUGAAAUGGAAUUAAAUCGGGUUUCUGAGAAGAAAAUGGUUGCACUAUUUGGACUUGCCACGAUACCGGAGAUAAGGGACCACAUUACAUCGAUUACGGAUCAUUGUGGGAAUUCAUGGGAGGAUUUUUCACAUGCAUUGAAAGACGAAUAUUUCUUGGAAGAUGCUGAAAGCGUUACUAAGAAGCUGUUUUUGGGAUGGAUUGAAUGGCCCAAUAAGAAUUUGCAAGCAACAUUCAUUGGAAUUGAUUACAUCUAUUGGAUUAGGGGGUAAUGAUAAGAUUGUUGAGAUUCAUUCAAAAGAGAUUUAUACCAUGCUUGAAUCUUUUCAAGCACCAAAAGUCACAGUAGAGACGAGAUAUAAAACGGCAGAUAAGAAGGUAAAGCCUGUUGCCGGACCAUUACCAGAGGAUUCUAAAGAAUAAAUGGGAGAAGCAUCAAAAGAAGCAAGUUUAACAGAUCCAAUGAGUAUUGGACAUCAGUUUACUGAAGAGACUUUUGAAGAAUUGAAGAUUGGUUCUGAUGGUUCUUUAUUGCCGGAGGAAAUUACUUGCUUCAAAAAGAUGUUGGCUAAACAAAGUAGAUCGUUUGCCUUCGAAUCUCAUGAAAUUGGGUGUGUGGAUCCAAAUAUUAUAACACCUAUGGUUAUCUUCACUGUACUGCAUGUACCUUGGAAUCUAAGACCGAUUCCAGUACCGAGGGCACAUUUACCUAAAUUGGUUGAACUAUAAAAAGAAAAGAUAAAGAUGAAAAUAUUCGAACCUUGAUUUGCGCCGUAUUCUAGUCGAUGGUUUAUGGUACCUAAGAAGAAUGGGUCACUACGGUUUAUUCAAGAUAUGCAGCCGGUAAAUGCUGUAACUGUCAAGAAUGCAGGAAUUGGACCUAUUGUGGAUGAAUUUGCUGAGGCGUUUGCUGGAAGGGCAAUCUAUUCAAUGGGUGAUUUGUAUUCAGGUUAUGAUCAAUUUCAACUUGCCGAAGGAAGUAGAGAUAUGACAACGAUGAGGACACCACUUGGAUUGGUUAGAAUGUGCACUCUUCCUCAAGGCACGACCAACUCAGUUGCGCAUAUGAUGAAUGGGAUGAAUAAGGUAUUGAGAGAUUUUAUUCCGGAAAAGACUAUGCCUUUUUUGGAUGAUGUUCCUAUAAAAGGGUGUAGAGAAGGAGACAAGGAUGAAACUUUAGAUACGAGGGGAUGUCGCAAAUAUGUUGUUGAUCAUAUACAAGAUUGUGAAAAGAUUUUAACUCGGCUUGGAGAAGUUCAUCUUACAUUAUCGGGUAUGAAGUCCGUAUUUGGAGUACGAGAGGUUGUAAUUGUUGGACAUUUAUGUGGAUCUUAUGGAAGAAAACCAGAUCCGACUAAAGUUGAUACAAUUGGAAGGAUGAAAGAGGAUUGUGAUUCUUUAACAGAGGUUCGCAGGUUUUUAGGUGCAUGUGUAUUUUAUCGAAUCUGGAUCCCUCAUUUUGCUCACAUAGCGGAUCCAUUAUAUGAACUAUUACGCAAGGGUUACCGAUUUAAAUGGAAAGAAAGGCAUAUUCAAGCAAUGCAAAGAUUGAAGAAAUUAUUGAUGUCACCUCCAAUAUUGAGGAAGGUUGAUUAUAAGUGCAAUAGACCAGUGAUUCUUACUGUAGACGCUAGUCCAAUUGCCGUUGGAUGGGCUGUGGGUCAAGAUGAUUCAAAUGGGAGUAGAUUUGCAGUUCGAUUUGGGGCUAAAGUUUUAAGUAUUCGUCAGCGUGCAUAUUCGCAAGUCAAAAGAGAACUUUGGGGAGUUGUUUCGGCUAUGAAAGCUGAAAAGGACUAUUUGAUUGGGGCAGUAGUAGUAAUUGAAACAGAUUACUUGCCAUUGCUUGGAAUGAUUAUUAACUGUUCAACGCUAGAUAUUGCAAUGUUGAGAUGGAUUCCUUAUAUUAAGUCACUAAAUCCAGAAUUUAAGCAUGUUACUAGGAAGGACAAUUUAGUAGCAGACAUGCUAUCUCGAGUAAGAUACGAGAGGGAGGACAAAAUGGUUGAAGACAUUGAUGAUGUUGGAUUGAAAUUCUAUUCAAUAUCAAAUCUCAACAGGGAAGACAAGCUAUUUCUUGAAGAAUCUUAUGAAGGAGAAUUAUUGGAUAUUGGUCAUUAUUUGAAUACCUAGACUAAGUAGGGGAAUUGGUCUACAAAAAAAUUCAAACAAAUAAGAAAAAAAGCAUAUGGAUUUUUACUUUGAGAUGGAUUCUUAUGGAAGAGACCGAAGAAAGGAAUUGGGAUGCCACAACGAGUGAUAGGCAAAAGGGAAGAAAAACUAAAAUUAUUAAAGGAGUUUCAUGAUAGUUUAUGGGCAGGGCAUAGAGGAAUCUGGGCUACUUUUGCUAAACUCAAGGAACGAUAUUGGUGGAAAAAUAUGUAUCGAGAUGUGCUCUCAUUUGUAGAGUCAUGUGAAAUCUGUCAAUCGUAUUCUAAUAUCCGACAUCGAGAUGGUCUUCAUCCUACGUAUCCUUUGGCUAUUCAUUUUAAAUGGGUUGUUGAUUUGGUUAUUAUGCCGGUUGGGUUAUGGCAGAUGAGAUAUUUGGUUUUAGCUUGUGAAGAUUUAUCAAAUCAAGUAGAAGGAAGAGCAUUGAGGACAAAAUCUACAGAGGAGAUUUGUAGGUUUUUGCUUGAAGAUGUCAUUUGCCGCUACGGAUGCAUAGGAAAAAUCACUGCAAAUCAUGGAGAAUCAAAUGCACAAGAAGCUCGUAAGUUCUUUGAAAGAUGUGGAGUUAAACUAUCACUGACUACUGCUUAUAAUCUAGAAGGGAAAGCAAAAAGCGAACGCGGUCACCCUCCGAUUGUGAAAGCAUAGGUUAAAGCUUGUAAUGAAAAAGUUAAAGAGUGGCCACGGCUUUUGUCAUUUGCAUUAUGGGCUGAUCGAACAACAUAUAGUUCGGUGACAGGAUAUAUGCCAGUAGAACUUAUGACAGGUCAAAAACCAAUUAUGCCGAUUGAAGAAAAGGUACUUACUUGGAGUAUGCUACCAUGGGAAGAUGGAUUGACAAGAGAAGAACUUCUGGCUAUUAGGAUUCGACAAUUGGAGCAAAGAACAGAAGAUGUGCAGAUAGCAUUGGGAAGGUUAAAAAGAGUAAGGUUACAAAAUAAGGCACGAUUCCAUAAGCAACAUCGAUUGAGACCAAAAGCAAUCGAAGAAGGUGACUGGGUACUUGUUUAUGACAAUAGUCUAGAUAAUCAACAUAGUACUUUGCGGAAAUUUUCAAAACAUUGGUUUGGACCAUAUGUAGUAACAACUGUUCAUGAUAAUGCGACUUACUCAUUGCGGGAGUUAGAUGGUACAAAAUUGAAAAUACCAAUUGCAGGGAAGCGAAUAAAAAUAUUUAAACGAAGAGACAUCGAGAUGAAUAUGAAAGACCUUAAUGAAGGUAUAGAGAUUCUGCAGCAAGAAGAUGAAAGUGAUUUGGUAAUGAAGGUGACGAAGACGAACUGGACAAAGACGUAGGGGAUAUAUUCUGAAUCAAACAGUAAUUGGAUAAAUUGGUGCAUACCGGAGGAUGCACAGGUUCAGAGGGGGUGAAUGUCGUGUUAUAACACGAGUAUACCGUGAAAAUAUAAAGAAAGGAGACUUUUAUUAAUAUUCAGUUAUCUCAAAUAUUGGGAGCAACGACCAACUCCAGUGCAAAUACUGAGUGGCCAGGUUCAGUCACCCCGUUACAGUCAGCCGGGGCAUACUGAAAUGCUCCGUUCGAUUCCAAUAACGAGAGUCAGCAGGAAGAGAAAGGACCAAUUCACAUGACGGAUGAGCCUUGUUCGAAGAGCCAAUUGGAUCCAAUUUCAAGAAUCCAAUCCAGGUUACUAUCGGACUCUUAUGCAAUAUGAGACCUGAAUUGGCUGGUCAACCCAAUGCAGUCUAAUUACAGAAAAAUCCAGGUCUUACUACGGGCCUUAGCCAAUCUGACGCGAGGACCAAUUGGAUCCAAUUACGUGAACAUCUAGGUUACUACGGACAUCUUACCUAAUAUGAAACCUAAAUUGGUCGGGCGACUCAAUGUGGACUCGAGUACGGGGUUUUGAUUCUGUUUCAGGCUGUCCUGUUCUCUGUGCCAUUUCAGGGAACGUUAUUUUUGGUAAAAAGAUCUCUUAAAGGUAAAAACGGGAGAAAAAGCUCUGACGACGAGAGCCAAUUUUGAAUCUAAGCUUGACGGUGGGAGCCAAUUCCGGAUCCAAGACGGAAGAUUGAAGAAAUUCAAAGGAUAAGGUUAGGGGAGAGAAUAGUUUUUUUUGGAGGAGGGGAGUUUUGGAAGAGAGGGAUCAGAGAGAGCUAGCUUCAAGCUUCAAGUCAGAGAAGAAAAGACAGAGAAUUGGGUUUUCUUCUUCAUAGGGUUUUUUUUGGGAAGACUGAGGCAAUCGUUGUUGAAGUCAGUGUUGUAAUGGUGGAUCGGGAUUUUUAAUGAAGUGGGUUUGAUUAUUCUUGACUGUUUUUGUGAAAUCGAAUUACGUCUGUGAUUGAAGAAUUAAAAGGGUGUCUAUAGGAUUGAGUAUACGAAGUGAAUGAAAUUUAUUGGGUUAAUCUAACAAAACAGUCAACGGAUACAAGAUCGUAAGUACAAAGCGGUAUUGAAGAUUAACAGUUUGGAUUGUUCGGGGUUCUUUGUAACGUCUAGAGACCUACCGGCUGGGGCAAAAAGGACUUUGACAAGCAGUCAAAGGACAUUCGUGUAGAUUUACGAUGUAUUUUUGCAGUCGUUUAUAUUUCUGCAGUCAAAAACUGAUAGACUGCUUGACUAUUGGCGAAUCUCUAUACUACCUUCUACAGCCAGACGCCCGGCGCGUUCUCGAGUAGGAAAGCACGUAAUACGACACCGUUCUUACCAAGAGUCAACAAAAGAGAAAAUAACCAAUUCAAUAUUCAAGUGAGUCAGAUGUAAAGGCCCAAUUUGACCCAAUUACAGGGAUAUCCAAUCCAAGUCCAUGUAUGGGCCUCUUAUUUAGUAUGAGACCUGACUCGGUUGGGCAACCCAAUGAGGUCUCGAAUACGAAGGCUUCAGUUCCAUUUCAAGUUGUUUCGUUAUCUAUAUUGUUUCAAGAAAACGUCCUUUCUAUGGAAAGAUCCUCUUAGAGGUGGGAAUUCUAUGGAGGCGGGUCUACUGUUCCAAUUCGGAGUCCAAGACGAAAGAAUAAGGGACCUCAAGGAGUUAAAAGAAAAGAAAGAAAAAAGAAGGGGGCAUCCGGAGAUCGGGAUUUUUAAGAUCGGAGAGCUAGCUUCAAGCUCCUUUGAAAGAUGUAGAAUUGGGUUUCAUAGGAUUUGGGAAGACUUUGCAAUCAUUGCUCAAAGUCUGUGUUUGUAUUAGUAAAUUGGAUUUUUGCAAUAAAGUAAUGGCUAGUAUUCUUGACUUUUUGUAAAAUUGGAGAGAUAUUUGUAGUUGAAAUUUUAGAGGUGUCUAGAUGGUUGAGUAUACUAAGUAUAUGCAAAAAUUUGUGUUAAUCUUAUAGUAUGGAUAGAGGAUAUUUGAUCAUUAGUAUAAAGCUGUAUCAAAAGUUGGGAUAUUGGAGUUGUUUAGGAUUUUUAUAAUAUCUAAGAUCUACCAGCUAGAAUAAGGUGAAUUUUGACUUGAUAUGUCGAGGACUUGAAGGCGGAGUUGCAUACAAAGUUUGAAUGAGAAAUAAUGGUCAAAGAAGGAGAAAUUGCAGGUUAAAGUUCAUCAUCGACCUUCUAGGCGACGAUGUCAUAUAAUGUGAAGUCUUGCUUGAGAAUGCACCAAGUACCUGGCUGUUGAAGAUAAAAGAAAAUUGCAAAAAAAAGUCCUAAUAAUCCAAUAGGAUUAUAGAGAAAUUAUAAUUAAAUAUUAAUAAUCAUAAUCAAAUAUUAAGCAAGCUAAAUUAAAUUUUAUUGAAGUUAUGAAAAAAAUAUAAGGAAAUCCUAAAGAAAUAUAAAAGAAUAUUAAAGAAAACUUAAUCAAACCUCAAUAAAAAUCUAAAUAAACCUUUAAUUCUAAUCAAACCCUGAUCCUAAUCCAACCUUAAUCAAAUCCUAAACAAAUACUAAAUCCUAAACAUAUCCUAGUCAAAUCUUAGAUAAAUCCUAAUCCUAACAAAUCCUAAUCAAUUCCAAAUCCUAAAAAAAUCCUAGUCAAACUUUAAACAAAUUCUAGUCAAAUCCUAGUUAAAUCUUAACUCUAAAUCCUAAUCAAAUCCUAAACCCUAAAUCAAAUCCUAACCCUAAAUCCUAAUCAAAUCCUAAUCCAAACCAAAUCCUAAUCACUAAUUUGAAAUUUAAAUAACUAAAGAUUGAAUUUUCUAUUCUAAUUCAAAAUUUUCACACUUCUUGGAGUUUAAGUUAGCAACCAACAUACAAAUUUUAAAGAAAAUUGUACUUACCAAUUAGUUGAUGACCUCAAAAUUCCGCUCAGAUGUCAGCCGACCUCUCUUUUUCCAAUCUAAUGCAAACUUUCAAUACCAAUAUCUCCUUUUUCUAUCAUUCAAUUGCUUCCAAAUUUUACUUGCAUAUAGAAAAUCAAGUCUUCUACUAAUAAAACUAAAAAUCUCUCCAAUCCAAUUGGCAGAUUGCUAGAUAUCUAAGAAAACCUUAUUAGUCUUCAAAACCUUAAAUCCCAAGACCUUAGCCCACAAAAACCUUCAUAUGUAUCGAUCUAGCCAUUCGAUUGACUUCAAAUCUCUUAUACACAUUUACAACAAGCAUACCAAUAAGUUUCUAAAUUUUUAUUCAUAAAAAUUCUACAAAAGUCACGAAAUCCAAAAAUUUGUAAACCGGUUUUAUUUCUCAAAGAUCUAAAUUCACAGAGAACAUCACUUGCUUUGAAAAUCCCUCAAAAAUCCAAUACUAAUCCAAAAAAUAUAAAAUUACCUCUCAAAAAUCCCUUCACAAGUCUGCCCUCUAAUUCGGCUCUCUGAUCUUCCAAAGAACCCUUGAGUCGCCGUCAAAGUGCGGUUUUGUGCCUUGGGGUCUGAUUUCAACCCAAGUUCAUAACCUGUCCUCUUCGGAUAUCAACUUUCGUCUUUUUGAGGUAAUUUUUACUAAUUUGCACUCUUAACUCCUCCCUACAUAUGUUUAUAUUCUUUAUUUUUCUAAUCUAUCUUGUUUUGCCUUAUUUAUGGCCUUACAAAGUAAAUAGAAGCAUAAUUUGUAAAUAGGCAGCAUUAGUACCUUUAAUUUUUCUACCCUUUGACUAAUAUCUAUUUUUCCAAGAUAAUUUGCUAUAAUAUUUUUGAAGUGAGAUCCUAAAAACAUGAUAUUUUCUUCACCCUUUCACUUGUUAUCCAUGUUACAUCACGACAGUCGUCAAGGGACUUCAGCAUGGACUUACAGUGUUUUCUUGCAAUCUGUAAGUUGGAUUGGAUUGAACUUCUUGAGCAUUUAGAAGACUUGUAAAGACAUUAGUGGUAAAAGUCUCACAACAAUUGGAUGGUUAGAUUAAGAAUUAUAGCUUACUGAGGCUUGCUAUCUAGGAUUAGGAUUUAAAAAAAUAAAUAAAUAAAUAAAUAAAAUAACAAAUAACCAAAGAAUUUGUGCUUAUAAUAUCUUGAAGUUAUUGAAAAUAGUGUUCUAAGCACUUUGUAUUGGCAUUAAGCUUUUACAUUGAAAUCUGAAAUAGUUUGUAUUUAGAUAGUUGAAACCCACUAGACUACUUGGACACUUGCAAAACAUCAUUUUAUCUUCCACAGCGAGACGCCCAGUGCGUUCUCAAGCUAGAUAGCAUGUAAUACGACACCAUUCGAUUAUUAUGAAACUUCUACCACUGGUGUCUUUACAAGUCUUCUAAAUGCUCAAGAAGUUCAAUGGAAUCCAACUUACAGAUUGCAAGAAAAUGUCGGAAAUCCACACUGAUGUCCCUUGACCACCACCUAGAAAGUUGAUGAUGAACUUUAACUUACAAUUUUUCCUUCUCUAACCAUUAAUUCUCAUUCAAACUUUGUAAGUAGCUCCAUCCUUAAGUCCUCGACUUACUUCGUUAAAAUUCACCUUAUUCUAGCUGGUAGAUCUCUAGAUAUUUCAAAAAUCCUAAACAACCCCAAUAUGCCAACUUCUGAUACUUCUUUAUACUAAUGAUCAAAUAUCCUCUAUCCGUACCAUUAAUUUAACACAAAUUUUUGCAUGCACUUGGCAUACUCAAGAAUCUAGAUACUUCUAAAAUUUCAACCACAGAUGUCUCUCCAAUUUUACGAAAAAGUCAAGAAUACUAGUCGUUACUUCAAUGGAAAAAAUCCAAUUCACUAAUACAAACACAGCCUUUGAACAACGAUUGCAAAGUCCUUCCAAAUCCUAUGAAACCCAAUUCACCAAUACAAACACUGACUUUGAGCAACAAUUGCAAAAUCCUCCCAAAUCCUAUGAAACCAAGUCUUACACCUUUCGAAGGAGCUUGAAGCUAGCUCUCCAACCCCAAAAUCUCAAUCUCUGAAUGCCCCUUUCUUUUUUCUUUUUUUUUCUUUAACUCCGUGAGAUCCCCUAUUCUUUCAUCUUGGACUCUGAAUUGGAACAGCAGACCCGCUUCCAUGGAAUUUCCGCCUCUAAGAAGAUCUUUUUAUGGAAAAGAUGUUUCUUCAAAACGGCAUAGAGAAUGGAACAGCUUGAAAUAGAACUGAAGCCUCCGUAUUCGAGACCUCAUUGGGUUGCCCAACCGAGUUAGGUCUUAUAUUGGGAAGAGGCCCAUACAAGGACAUGGAUUGGAUGUUCCCAUAAUUUGGUCAAAUUGAUCUUUCACAUCACAUUCACCCAAAUAUUGAAUUGAUCUUUUUUCUUUUGCCGACUCUUGGUAAGAAUGGCUCGGACUUAUUCCACCUGAUUUAUCAGAGAAUCUUGAGGACCUCGAUUUAUUCUCUCAAUUUUUUCUUGGCUUUGGAUCUGCUGAUCUCGAUUAUUGAAAUUGAACUGAGCAUUACAUUGCUCAUAAGUAUGCUCCGACUGCUUGCUAUUCCCACACACUAGCACGUAAUUGUCAUUGGCUCUGGGAUUGGGACAUUCACUUGUAUAAUGACCAAUCUAUCUACAAUGGAAACAACGAAGUGGUCUUCUUGUACCCCCAUCAGGCAUAUUAGUUGUCUCCACUAGUAUAUACCUACUAGGGUUGUUCCAUGUAAGGUUAGAAAAUGAUCUUGGUCGUCCCGUUGGUACGGAGGGUACUUGGUUCAAUGAUGCCAAUGGAGCAUACGCUGUUGUCACGUUCGGUGGUACAGCUUGCAAUGGGGUGACAUUAAUUGGUCCUUCAAUAUUGGCACUAGAAUUGGCCACUGUUUCUAACAUCCAAGAUGACUAAAUAUUAAUAAAUCUUUUCCAUUUAUAUUUUUACCAUAUAGUCAUGGUAUAACACAACACCAUUGUAUGCUUUAUUACAUUGAUAUAAUUCAUAAGAAUGCACAAAAGCUUAAAUAUCACAGUGUCAUAUGAUAUGAUUUGUAAUCUAAGAAUAUACAAAGUAUCUAGUUAUAAAGAGUUUAGUUUUAAUUUAUUGGCUAAACUCUAAUAAGUAUUUUAUUCUAUCUUUAACUUAUAUGCAAAGUCUUGGCUUCCAAAAACUCUUCACUUUAUAUAAAAUCCCUAAAUUAUAGUAAAAUCUUUCAAAACAUAUUUUUUUUAGCAAAGGAUUUCUUCUUUCUAAAUUUUAGAAAUUCAUAUCUCUUGAUCCAACUAUUAAGUUUCUCUCAAAUUCUUAUAUAAUGUAGCUAUUAUUCUUAAGCUUUACUAUAAAAAAAAAAUAAACUAUAAAAUCGCUACCAAUCUUCUAGAAUCUUAGAAAUCCUAGCAAGUACUCUAAAUCCUAACUUACAAGCACCCAAGCACUAUUUUCUUCAUAUCUCAAAAACCCAAAAUUCAAAUGCUAUAAAAUUUAUUAACAUGAUUACACACAUUCUAGAAAAUUUUGAGCCAAAAUCUUGUCAAAUUAAUCAAGGUAUGGCUCAAAAUACAACCACUAGUAAAUCAAAUCACUUACUACUCUUAGAUUACAAGCAUUGAAUUCAACCUCUAAUAUCUCCUUUAUUCCAACUUAGAAUCCAUUGAAUAAUAUGCCAAAAGUAUAGCCAAGAGAGUACUUUCUUCAAUCUUAGUCGCCAAUUCUUUAUUUCUUUAUAUACAUAUAUGUUAUGUCUAAAAGAGUGACAGUAGGUACAAAAUCAACACCUUAACUUUGAGCAUCUAUAUCUCUUUUAUAUAAAUUCCAAAUUAGAUAAAAUUUCCACCAAAACUAUAGCCAAAAACCUAAACUUUUUGAUCCUAUCAAUAGAAUUAGAGAUUUCCAUUAUCCAUCUAUAUUCAUCUAUAUAGAUAUUCAAACUAUUCUUUUUGCUAUCAAAAUCCCUCUUCAAUCUUUUUAUUUUUAUAAGAUUUACAUAAUAUAUGCUCUAAAUACCAAAUAAAAGAAUAAAAUAAAACUUCAAAGGUCACCAAUAUCUAUCAAAGAUGACUCUAAAUGUUUAAAAGUUACUACUAAUAAGAUCAAUUUUAAAAGUUACUAUAAAAAAAAAAUAAAGUUAUAAAAAUUCUAAUAGUAGUCAUUGUAAACAACUUAUUUUUAGAUUAGUAAUCUAAUUCCAUUCUACAAUCAAUUAAAAUUCAUUAACAUGGCUCUUAUCAUGUUUCUUAGUAUAUUAUAUAUUAAAUAUAUAUAUACAUUAUUUUCACAUCACAGCCAAAUCUCAACAUGACAAUGGUCCAAACCUAUCCAACACUAUAUCCUUGAAAUUCAUUCUAGAGUCUUUUCAUGCUUUAGAUGCUCAAAUAUUGGAAUAUUAUAUCCCUCUUGAAAUAUGCACAUCUACAGUAUAGCAUUAUUAAGAACAUAAAUUUACUUCUUGAAAUAAAAUUAAUCAUUAUUAAGAUUCUAAUUUUGAUAUUGUACAUCACCUAUCUUUAGCUAAUUAUUAACUAUUUUUAAAUAAGUAUUCCAAUGCAUAUCUUCCUUCAAUUCUACUUCUUUGAUUAGAUUUGAAAUAAGACUAUUAAUGGUAGCAACUUAUGUCUUGUCUCCUAAUUUUGCCUUCAAGUUUGGUCUUUGCAAUAAGUUGUUCAACACAAUAUGUUGUUGUCCUUGCUUAUAUUGAAGUUGAAUAUCAAAAAGCUACAACUAUUCUUUUCAAGAAUGAUGCUGUGAUUUCAUAUUUUUUUUUUAUACAAAUCAUAUAGCAAGGAUCAAUGCUAUGGUUAAACAAUCACUAACUUCUUCAACAGACAGUGUUGCCAUACUUUUGUCACAUGUAAAAUUUCUAAUUGCUCUCCAUCAUAUAUAAAAUAAUUGUAUUCUAUUGUUUUGAGAUUUUGUGAUUCAUACACCAUGCGUUGAAGGCUCUUAUUAAAAUUGUUGAAGGACUAGUCCAAUAGCAAAGUUGGAAGCAUUAAUAUCAAGUAUAUAAAUAAGGUUGAGAUCAUAUGCUUGUAAUAUUGGAGCAAUAAUGAGUGCCUCCUUCAACCUAUCAAAGAUACUUUGUUAUUCUAGUUUCCAUUCAAAUGGAGCAUUUUUUUCCAAUAGUCUUGUCAAUAAGACAGUAAUAUGUGUAAAUUGUCAAAUAAAAUGGUAAUAAUAUUUAAGAAGACCUAAGAAUGAGUGGACUUCAGAAGCAUCCUUUGGAAUUGGUCAAUCUUCUAUUACUUUGACCUUAUCCUAAUCCAUGUGCAUAUCUUAAAAAAAUAACUUCCAACUUCUAAAGUUCACAUUUUGAUUGUUUGCAAUAGAAGUAAUUAUCUCAUAGCUGUUAUAGUAUUUUUUAUAUAUGUUAUUUAUAUUUUUUUAGGAUUUUAUUAUAGACUAAGAUAUUAUCAAUAAAGACAAUUACAUACUUAUCCAAAAGAUCCUAAAAUAGUCUAUUUAUGUAACCCAUAAAGAGAACCAAAACAUUAGUGAUGUCCAAAAGAUAAAAUAAGUCCUUCAAAAUGUCCAUAGUACUUAUGGAAUGCCAUCUUUUUAAUAUCCUCUUUUUCAAUAUGUAUUUAUGAAUAGCUACAAAAAAGGUCUAAUUUACUAAAUUCCUCUUAGUUAUAAAAUUUACUUUGAGCUCCAUAGUUUUAAGCUCAAUGUCACUACCAAAUAACUGCCAUACCUCUCAAAUAGAUAAUUACAUAUAUAAUUCUUUGAGUGGUGCUUGCUCUAAAUAAUUAGAAGUAUUGUUGUACACUAAAGAAUCAUUAGCAUACAUCUUCUUGUCUUGAAGUUCCAAAAUAUGUUUUGGACUUACUUAAUUUUAACCUAGCAGAUGUCAACUCCAUUGCCUUAGAAGCUUUUAUUUAUCUUUAUAAAGUAGCUAUUUGAUCUGGAAGGUGUUGUACUUGAGCUUCCAUCUAAUUGUCAAGGUAUCACGGACACAGAAUACAGACUUGAUAUCUACUAAGAAGUUCAAGAAGAACUGGUAAGAACUAGAUUAAUCAGAUGAAUACAAGAACAACACCAGAAAGGUGAGCUAGAGCUCUAAGAGAUGUGUUGUCGAAACUGAAGAACUCUUCAGCCUCGAUUCCAAUAUAUACUUCUAUUUAGGAAGCUUCUCAAGCAACUUCUACCAACUAUGAAGCUUCUAGAAGGUUCUAGAGACUUGCUUCUAGAAGGUUCUAGAAACUUAUCUCUAGAAGGUUCUAAAGACUAUAUCCCUAACAUCUUCUACUAACUAAGAAGCUUCUAGAAGGUUUCAGAGACUUGCUUCUAGAAGAUUCUAGAAGCUUAUCUCUAAAAAGUUCUAGAAACUUAUCUCUAGAAGGUUCUAAGGACUAUGUCCCUAACAUCACCCCCUUCUUUAGCUUCGAGGUCUCUGAGAAGCAAUGUUGUUGUCAAUCAGUACCAACGCAAGAAAAUGAAGAUCUGUCGCAUAACGUCUGCUAUGAACUCCAACUGUUGUUCACGAGGUAAGUAGUUCAUCGGCCCUUGAAGCCAACGGUAGUGGCCCACUCCUUCAACUUCUGACCAAGCAUGAACUUCCGUGUCUUCAUUGUGAAAUUGUCCUGCAAAUAUGCCUUCUGGUUGACCAUCGUAAGCAGGCUCGGACUCAAAUACAAUCACCAGUGAUCGGUUACUUGAUAUCCUCCAUCAUCGUCAUGGUGCAGGUGGUUCUUCAUCUCGGGGUCACCUUUGUGAACUAGUUGGUUGAGAUAAUCUGACUGGCAUAGUAUCUAUCUCUUGGCUAUCCAUAUCAGAAGACCAAACUAUGGCUACUGAAAAAAUUCUAUUUUAUCUUGGAAAAAAUAACUACAUCAACUACGAAUUUUGGUGGUGCUCUCUCCCUUUCUUAUAUUCUUGGGUGAGCAAGCUUCAAAAAGAAGCUAUUGUCAAACCGACUUAGGUUUAUGAGGAUGUUGUUGAUGAAACUCCUGUAGCUUUUGCGGCGCAUUGGUGAGAUUUUCAGCUGGCUCUCACGUUCGCUCAUUAAUGUCGUAGCCGCACCAAUGAACAAGAUACUCCAACUUGUCCCACCUUCGCCGAGAAUCCAGCACCUUUUCAACCUCGUAUUCCUCGUGGUUCUCGAUCUCAAUACUAGGUGGCAGACAUUGCACUCUUCCAGGAAAAGAUGACUCUCGAUAAGGCUCCAACAAAGAAACAUGAAAGACUGGAUGUACCUUCAUAGAAGCCGGUAAUUCCAAACGGUACGCCACUGGAUUGAUUUGCUUUUGGAUGAUAAAUGGUCCCAAUCUUCGAUAGUCCAACUUAUCACAUGGUCGCUUGGUCUUGAUAUUCCGUCGAAGAAGCCAUGCUUUAUCUCCAAUUUUGAAAGUAGGUGCUUGAUUUCGAAAUCUAUCUGCAAACGCCUUGUAGGAUUCUUGAGCGGAUUGUAAUUGAAGCUUCAACGUAUUUUGAAGCUCUGAUAGUUGUUUCGCAAAUCCUUCAGCUGCUUGAUUGUUAUUUGUUGAUGGACUCAAUAAAUCAAGCUUUGGAUGAUAUCCAUAGUUGGAAAAGAAUGGUGUGUAUUGAGUCGACACAUGGAGGGUGUUGUUAUAUGCAAAUUCGGCUAGCGACAGAUAUGUGGUCCAAUCGUCUUGCUAAUAGUUGAUGCUGCAUCGUAAGUAUUGUUCCAAGACUUGGUUCACCCGUUCCGUUUGAUCGUCAGUUUGAGGAUGAAAAGCCGAAGAAAGCUUGAUAUCCACCUUCAGUAUCUCAAAGAGAGAUCUCCAAAACUUUGAUACGAACUGGGUUCCUUGAUCUGAUACGAUAUCAUCUGGUAGUCCAUGAUAUCGAUACACAUUAUCGAGAAAGAAUCUUGUUGUGACUUCACUGGACGAUGUCUUCUUGCAAGGGACAAAGUGUGCCAUUUUUGUAAGCCGAUCUACCACGACAAAGAUGUUGUCAAAUGAGUUCGAUGAUGGCAGGUCCAUGAUGAAGUCCAUGGAAAUUGAAGACCAUGGUCGACGUGGAAUCGGCAAUGGCUGUAGGAGUCCAUAAGGGCAAUGCCGAGGAUUCUUAGAUCUUGAACAGAUGUCGUAGGAGAGAACAAAAUCUUUCACAUCCUUCCACAUUUGGGGCCACCAAAAAUCUCAAGAAAUAAGCUCCAAGGUCUUGUUGAAUCCAAAAUGUCUCGCAGCUAGAAAAUCGUGGCAAGAUUGAAGAACUCGGAGUCGUGCUGGUCCUUUUGGGAUAUAUAACCACUCUUCAAAGUAUAAAAGAUCUCCCUCCACCUUGAACUUGUCGUCAUUGGCUCGCUGCUUAAUAUCAAUGGCUACUGAAUCUUCAAUGGUUACGGCACAUACCUGAUUCAAGAAGUGAGCAUCAAUUGGCAUAAUAGUAGCACAAAGCUGAAAUUGCUGUAGCUUCAAUAAUAUCAUACAUUGUUGAUCAAAUGUUGCUUCUCCAACCUUUGAUACAAGAUACGAUCUCCUCGAUAAAGCAUCAGAUAGUCCUUACUGCUUUCCAGGUCGAUAAGUGAUAAUAAAAUCGAACCUAGAUAGCAACAUACUCCAUCGAGCUUGACGUCGAUUUAGAACUCGAGUUGACAUGAAAUACUCCAAAUUCUUGUGAUAUGUGUAUACGAUCACUGGAUGUGUAGCUCCUUCAAGAAAGUGACGCCAUUCUGGGAAAGAAUCCACUAUAGUAAGAAGUUCCUUAUCGUGGAUCUCAUAAUUGAUUUCAACAGCAGAGAACUUUCGAGAAUAGAAUGCAACCGGAUAGAGCUUCUUGUCUUCUCCCAUUUGUGAAAGUACAGCUCUCAAAGCAAAAUCCGAAGCAUCAGUUUCUAAAUAGAAGGCCUUUAUAAAGUCUGGAUGUACCAAGAUUGGAGCCGUAGUAAAUGCGGUCUUCAAGUUUUGAAACGCCUUCUCUGCUAGAGGUCCCCAUUCCAGCUUAUCCUUGCAUAUCAACCGAGUGAGAGGAGCAGCAACUUGAGAGUAAUUCUUGAUAAAGAUCCGAUAGAAGUUGGCAAAACCAAGAAAGCAUUGUACGUCUCUAACCGUCUUCGGAACCUCCUAGGACACGAUUACUUCCACCUUCUUGGGGUCCAACUUCAAGCCUUCCGUAGGUGCAACGAAUCCCAAAAACUCCAUCUCUAUUUGGUGAAAUAAACACUUCUCCAACUUGGCAUAUAGUCCUCGCUCGCGUAGUUUCUCCAAUACCAAACGAACGUAUUUUUCAUGUUCUUCCUCAUUUUUGGAAAAUAUCAAAAUAUCAUCCAAAUAGAUGACAACAAAAUCGUCAAGGUACUCUUAGAAAAUGUCAUUCAUCAUAUGUAAAAGACCGCUGGAGCAUUGGUAAGACCAAAGGGUAUGACAUUAUAUUCAAAAUGGCCAUAUCUUGUACGGAACGCUGUCUUCCACUCAUCUCCUUCCUUGAUUCGUACGAAGUUGUAAGCUCCCCUUAGAUCAAUUUUUGUAAAGAUCCUUGCACGUUCAAGUUGUUCUAAGAGACCAAAAAUCAAGGGUAACGGGUAACGAUUCUUCUUUGUUACCUUGUUGAGGCCUCGAUAGUCCACGCACAUCCGCAACGAGCCAUCUUUCUUCUUCACAAAUAAGAUGGGUGCUCCAGCUGAUGAUUUUGAAUGACAGAUGAAGUUCUUGGCUAGAUUCUCGUCGAUGUACUUCCGCAACUCCACCAACUCCAUCUGCAAUAGAUUGUAGAUUGGGCCAAAAAGCGGUUGUGUUCCUUCUUGUAAGUCUAUGGCGCAAUCAUAUGGUCUGUAUUUCGCUAGCAUGUCGGCAUUUUUCUUUUGAAACACGUCUUUAAAAUCCUUAUAUUGCUCCGGUAUACUUGUUGUCGAGAUCUUCUCCCCGGUAGUUGGAGCCGCAUAAAUGACAAACGGUGUGCCUCCCUUGGACAAUCUUAUAAACGCUCUUGUUCCAAUAAAUAAGAAUUUCUCUAUUCGGGAUUUUCUACUAGGCUUGUUCUUGGGUGGUUUUGUGGGAAAGGUCAUCUUCCGCAACUUCCAAUCUAUGGAUGGGUUAUGCUUUUCCAACCAGGAAAGACCAAGAAUAACAGGAUUUGAUGGGGUUCUAAUAAUAUUGAAAAUAAUAUGACUACUAUAGUCCUUAAACGUCACUUCUAUAGGUUCUGAUUCAUGGAUGACACUACCAGACAAUAAAGGUCAUCCAUCUAUGACCUCAACGUGAACAAGUUUGGAUUUUUGUACUAAAGGGAUCUUAUGACGCUUUGCAAAUUCUUCGUCUAAGAAACAAGCAGAUGCUCCUGAAUCUAAUAAUGCUAAGGUUUUCAGUUUCUGAGGGCCAAUAAGCAAAGGGAUUAUAAAACAAAGGGCAGGUUGAGAGGAAAGAAAAGAACCUGGUUGUUGUUGCGAUAUUUCACUGUCCAGCCGCACGGUUCCUAUUGUGGCUGGGCAUCCUCGUUUUCCUGAAUAAAUGCACCCCUAGUCUUGAUAAUAUGUCGAUUUUGCUUCUUGGGGCAAUUUCCAACUUUGUGGCCUUCUUCACCGCAAUACAAGCAUAGACCUUCUUCCAUACGCCGCUUUUUUUCUUCUAGAGUAAGAGAUUUGACACGUACCGCAUCAAUUUGCAUGUCUUCUACCUCUGAAUGUGAAUUCACACUGCUUGCCGACAUAGUUGGGGUGUGGCGAACCGUAUGUUGUCUUGAACGUUGGUCUUAGUGACGUUGGAAUAGGCGGUUAUCGCACUUCACAGCUUGGCUAAUAGCUUCGUUGAGCGUUUGCGGAUCAGGAAGAGUUAAUAACAAAUCCUUCACAUCUUCCCUUAAAUCCCAAUAGAAUUGACUCAUCAACGCUUCUUCGUCCCAAUUGAUGUCGCAUGCUAAUUGCCUGAAGUCCGAUGCAUAGACUGAUGUAAAACGCAUCCCUUGUCCUAUUGACUGGAUCUUUGUUGUAGCCCAUCGAACCUUGUCAUGUUCACCAAAUGCUUCCGCAAAUGCCUCUAAAAAGGUUUCAAAGUUGUUUAGUAUGGACGAUCGUUUCUCAAACAAAGGAGCAAACCAUGAUAGAGCUUGUCCUAUAAGUAAGGUUCCAACAAGCCCAACACGUGACUCCUCCGUUGGAUAGCGUUCGGGCUGUAAAAUUGUUAUCAACUUGAUUUGGUUGACGAAUCCUCGAAACUUGGAACGUGUACCAUCGAACUUGUCCGGAAGGCUAACUCGGGGUUCCUUAUGUUGUAGAACCAGCGGUGCUUGUCGAACCUGAGGCAAAGUUGCUUCUCCAAGUGUAGAAGUUUGAGGCUGGUACAACCUAGAUUGUGCCAUCCCAAAUGCUCCAUCAUUAUAAAGCCUUGCCACGACUCUUUCAAUCUCUGCAAUUCUUUGCGAUAACGUAGCGAGGGCAUUCAUGAUAGCAUCUAACUUGGACUCUAAACUUUUCGUCAUACUAAUGUCUUGGCCCCUGACCAUUCUAAGAGAAGGACAGAAAUGACUCUACAAGAAGACAAUAUUGGUUUAGAGGAGGGUACUCCGCAACCUCUAAAAUGCCUUAAGAGCUUCAAGAAAAGGGGUAAUCCACUCUCUCUAAGAAGAAUAAGACUCCAAUAUUGUAACAAAAGAAGUAUCAGUUUAGAGGAGGGUAAUCCGCAACCUCUAAAGUACUAGUACACUUCCAAGCAGAGGGGUAAUCCACACUCUAACAAAGAAGAAACUAACUCUGAUAUCUGAGGUGAGUGAAGUCUCGACAAACUGUCACGGACACAGAAUAUAGACUUGAUAUCUACCAAGAAGUUCAAAAAGAACUGGUAAGAACUAGAUUAAUCAGAUGAAUACAAGAACAACACCAGAGAAGUGACCUAGAGCUCCAAGAGAUGUGUUGUCGAGACUGAAGAACUCUUCAACCUCGAUCCCAAUAUAUACUUCUAUUUAGGAAGCUUCUCAAGCAACUUCUACCAAUUAGGAAGCUUCUAGAAGGUUCCAGAGACUUGCUUCUAGAAGGUUCUAGAAACUUAUCUCUAGAAGGUUCUAAGGACUAUGUCCCUAACAUCUUCUACGAACUAAGAAGCUUCUAGAAGGUUCCAGAGACGUGCUUCUAGAAGGUUCCAGAGACUUGCUUUUAGAAGGUUCUAGAAGCUUGUCUCUAGAAAGUUCUAGAAACUUGUCUCUAGAAGGUUCUAAGGACUAUGUCCCUAACACAAGGAUAUAAAUCUCAAAAAAAGAAAUCUUUAAUACACUCUUGUGUCACUGAAAAGAACUAAAAAAUCAUUCAAAGAUGAUAUAAUAUUGACCUAGAAUGGCUAUUAUCAAAAAUAAGAAGACUAAAAAUUUAAAAAAUGUUGUCAAGAGUCAAAAAGUCUUCAUUUUUGCUUCCAUAUAUACUCUUAACUAGAAGCUAUGUAGCAAUAUCCUAUAAGACCUCUAAAAUGUGUUGACUUUACAAGAUAUGUAACUUAACAUACAAGGCAAGUUUUCUAUAUAUGCAUCACAUAGUUAGCUUGUUCUACAAGCUAUCAACACGUGGUUAACUUGUUGCUCAAGUUUCUAAUCUACCAAACAACUACAAAUACAUAUAAAGUCAAAGAAAUAUCUAUGCAUCUUCUAAGAAGCUUCUUUAGAAGAUAUUAUGAAAUUAACUUAUUUUUAUCUACUUUUAUCUAUUUCUACCUAAUUACAUAUGUAUUUUUUAGAGUAUGUAUGUAUAUCUGUGACAUCAAGAUGGCUUUGCCAUAUCUUCCAUAUUAUAAUUUUUUUGCCAAAUUUUACUGUCAUAAUGUCUUUUAUCCUUCUAAUUGAUUUUUUAAAAGUAGCUCAUGGUAGCUCCAAAAUAGUAAUUAAUGUGACCACAACAACUAACCUCUAACUAAACAAUGGCUAUUAAUACAUUAUCAAAGAACAGACUAACUCUUGCUCUAAUACUAAUGAAAUGAGACUGAAUUGUAUUAAAGAUCUAAAAUCCUUGCAGUCUAUAGCAAUAUAAAUUCCAUCACAAAGUAAGACAAAACAAAUCACAAUAAAACUAAAUAAAACUAAAUAAAAUAGAAUAUGAAAGACAAAAUAGAGCAAAAAGAAGUAGAAUAAAACAGAACAAAAAAUACAAACCAAACUUUAUUAAAAAAAAAAACCAAAAAAAAAAAAAAAAAAAAACCAAAAAAAAAAAAAAAAAAACCAAAGCCAUAACAAAUUAAAUGCCUCAAAUGGCCUCAAUCAAUCAUAUUUAUACUUUAUCCAAUCAUCCUAGAAUUUUCUAGAAUGUCCCUAAUAGUGGGUUCUACCAAGAUAACCUCCAUUUUAAAAGAUUUUAGAAAUGGGCCCUAUUUUGGUAACUACCUUCUUAUAAGGUUCUAGAGGUAGAUCCUACCUGAAUAACUACCCUAAAGUCUUUUAAGAUGUUCUAUGGUAGAUCCUACAUAGGCCAUCAACUUGGCUCCAAAUCUAAAAACUUCUAGAAACUUUUCAAAAAUAAUUCCAAUUAUCUACCUCUAUGCAUCAAUAUUACAAUUAUCUUAUCCAUGCCCCAUUGCAGCUUCAUUCUUAUCUUUGUACAUACUAUCUAAUUAGAAAUUAUAUAGCAAAAUUCUUUACAAUCUCUAUUAUGGUAAACAUAUUUAUUUCAAUAGUAACUUAAAUAUUAUGAAAAGAUAAAAGUAAAUUAAUCUAAUAAUAUCUUAUGAAUAAGCUUUCUAGAAGCUUUAUAGAUACAAUUUCAUCUUUAUACAUAUCUAUAAGUAAUUAGUAGGUUAGAAAUAUAGCCAAUAAAUUAGCUACAUGUUGUAUAUGUUGAUAGCUUGUGGUACAAGUUAAUGAUAUCGUCCACAUAUAGUAAACUUAUCUUGCAAGUUAAGACACAUAUCUUACAAAUUAGACAUAUAUUGGAAGUCUUACAGAACAUUGCCAUGUAGCUUCUAGUUACAUAGUAUAUAUAGAAGCAAGAAUAAAUCCUUCUUCAUUCUUGUCAAUGCCUUUUUAGUCUUUAGUCUUGUUUAAGCUUUUCUAAUAUUUUUAUCUUUGGAAAUAGCCAUUCUAGUUUAAUAUCAUAUCAUCUUUGAAUGAUUUUUUAGCCUUUUUAAGUAACACAAGAGUGUAUUGAUCGUUUAGUUUUUUGAAAUACAUAUCUUUCACAAUUUGAUAAGAGUAUUAAUUUAUUAUUCAUAUCUUAUUUUUAGGAGUGAAUAAACUAUUCUAUUUAUAUUAUUGUGUUUUGAAGGUUGUAGGCUAUAUACCUUUAUUGUAACAUUUUAGUUUUUUAAUAAUGAUUUUUUCUUUAAAGAGAGUAGACUACCGAUUUUUGUGGAAAUUUUCAUUCGAUAUUAGAUGUUACAGAUUAUCUUCUUCUAAUUUGAUUCAUAGAUUUUUUUUGAGUUUUCUAUAAAGAAAAAACUAUGGAUGCUACUUUUAACAAAAGUAAAAAUAGAUUUGCAACUAUUAUAAAUAUUUAUCAACUUAUUAAUACUUUUAGGAAAGAAAUCUCAAGUAUCUCUAAUAUCAAUCAUAGAAGUAGCAUUUCAAUGCCUAUAGAAGAUGUCAACAAUAAAGUUUAAAGUCUAUACCAAAAAAUUGUACGAUUGAAAGAAGCAAGUAGAUCAAAUUUAGAACUAAAUCUGAGAAGUUUUGCUACUAUAAGUAUGAGGGAGAUAAAGAUAAGUAUGUUUGAGAAGUUCAAUAGAACAUGAUUAAAGUUAUAAAGAUUUCUACAAUAAGUAAAGUUCUAUCUAAGAUUGCAUCAUUUUCAAUAUCUUGAUGGAUUUACUCAAGUUAGAUUCAUAUGUAUACUUCUUUCUAGGAAUGCUUUCUUUUGAUUUACACCUUUAAUGGAAAAUGAUUCACAACUAUACUAUAAUUUAAAUUCAUUAUUAAAAAGCUUCAUGGCCAAAUUUUAAAAAAGUGAUUGAAAAAGGAUAGCAGAGGCCAAAUUCAUAUCUUUAUAACAAAGAUCACAUUUAACCACCAUAUAUGCUAUUCAAUUCUAAAAUCUUACUUAUUAUAUAGAUUAAAAUGAUAAGGCUCUUAUCAAUCAAUUUUGAUAUAGAUUAAAAAAGAAUAUCAAAGAUUUACUAUUGAUAAUAUUAAGAACAAAUUCAUCAAAAUAAUUUAUUUCUUAAAUCAUUGCAUGCAACAAUCGACUCUUUGAAAGAUGUUAAGAACAAAGAUUUGAUUGGAGAGGUACAAGUUAUGUCAUGGCAAUAGCUUCUAAGUUCAUAGAAGCUUAUUCAUCAAGACUAAACCUAUGCAAAUUGAUAUAUUAUGUUUGAAACUUCUUAUUGAGCAAGAAAAGACUCAACAUUGUUAAAAAAGAUUAUGCUUAUAUUAUGGAAAACUUAAGAAUAUUGCUUAAUAUUAUUCAAAGAAGCAACACAUCUACAAAAUAAGAAUCAUGGUUGCCAAAGAGGAUGAUAUGUCAAAAAACCAAUUUUUCUAGCUACAAUAAAAACCAUGCAAUUAUAAUCUUAUGCAAUAAUUAAUAAAAGCUUUAUCUUCUCUUAAUAUUCUUCACCUUGUUUUACAAUAGAAAUUUUUUUAGGACCAAAAAAUUAUAAAGUCUUAGCCUUGUAAAUUUUGGAGUCUCAGCCUAUUUUAUAGACAAAGACUUUUUUAAAAAAUAAGAAAUAUCCUAAGUUAAAAAAAUCAAAUCUAUGCCUUAAGAAAUAAUUAAUGGUUGUUUAUUGUAUUCUAGAGAUGUUACCUAUGAAAUAAUUUCUUUAAAUAUAAUAAGUAGUCAUAAUAGCUUAGUAAUAUUUGAUAUAAUUAAUUUUUCCACCAAUUCAAUUCUUUUAGGAUUAUUGUGGCUAAAAAAUAUAAUUCCUUGUCAUGGACAUAAAUUUCAAUGAAAGAAAACUCAAUACACUUUUAUGUCACUCCAAAAGAUUAAAAAGUCAUUAAAAGAUAGUAUUAUAAUAAAUAAUGGCUAUUAGAAAACACAAUAAGACUAAAAAGUCUUGAAACAAGACUAAGAACUAAAAAGAUAUUAAUAAGAGUGAAGAAAGCUUUAUUUUUGCCUCUAUAUAUAUAGUGACUCAAAAAAUUAUUUCAAUGUUGACAUAUUUUAGAAAGAAUGGUGUAUUAUAGAUGAAUUUUAAUAAAUAAUGACAUGUGGUUUGUAUAGCAAAUAAAAUAUUCUUUUAUAGCUACCAAAUGAGUCCAAGUUGAAAAGAAUCUAUUAAGUAAUUGUGGAACUAUGACCAAUUUAAUUUGGAACAAUAUUGAAACAUUUUUUUGAAUAUAGUAUGCAAUAACAUAUUAGUACUUUAUAUGACCUCAUUUGGCCUUGAUAACUGCUAUAUAAUUGUAUUAUCACAUGACAUCUUAAACUUCUUCAAUAUGUGAUCACCGCUCCUCAUGGAACUCUUCUAUAAAAAAAAAUGAUAAUAUCAUGGAUAUACAUAUUUAUUCUAAUAAUUAUUUAGAUAUUAUGAAUAGAUAAAAAUAGAAUAAUCUGAUAAUAUCUUAUAAGAUAGCUUAUUAGAAGCUUCAUAAAUAUGUUUUUACCUUUAUAUAUAUCUUAAGGUAAUUAAUAGGUUAGAAACUUGGCCAACAAGUAAGUCUCAUGUUGCAUGUGUUAGUAGCUUGUGGUAUAAGAUAUUGAUGUAGCACACAUAUAGUAAACUUGCCUUGUGUUGUAUUUAGGCAUCUUUCAUAGACGCAUUGUAUUUUGAUUCAUCAUCACCUAUGCAAUACAUUAAUGAUUUGAGCUUAUGAUAAAGCAUAGCAACAAGUUUUGAUUGCUCAAGAGACUAAGUUGCUACAUGAAAACAAGGCCUCUUAGUUUUCUUUCAAAUCUACUUUACCAAUGAGCAUUCUAUCAUGCGUUCAAGGAGCUAGAAGUCUUCUUGUGAAGAUCAUCAAUAGAAGCAAUAUGACCUUAGAACAAUCACUAAGAAUGGAAUUUGAGAGAAGGAAGGAGGUUGGAACAAAGAACAGAAGAAGAGGAGAGAAGGAUGUAAUGAUGGUUUUGAUAGAUGGGUCCAUUUAAUAAAAUCCAAGGUUAAUUUAAUAUUUUGCUUUAUUUAUUUAUUUAUUUAUUUAUUUAUUUAUCUAUUUAUUUAUUUAUAUUAGAAUAUUUUAUUUUAUUUUAAGAAUAGCAUGUUAAAAUAAAAAAAUCAAUGUAUAACCACUAAGACAAUCUAUUCAAUUUAAAAAAAAUGACAAAAGAUUGUUUUGUAUACAACAAAACAUUCAUAAAUUCAAUUUGUAAGUUGAAAUUUAAACAUUAGAGUUCAUUUUAUAAAUUUUAAAUAUUAUUUAUAGCCAAAAAAAAUCUUUAAUGAAAGAUAAAAUAUAGCACAUAUAUAUAUAUAUAUAUAUAUAUAUAAGAAUAUGUUCAAUUUUUUGUUUAUUAAAUUCUUUAGACACUUUAUAAAAUUUAAUAAAAUUUUGAGUUUAGGUAAUUAUAAAAUGUCUAAAGAAAGCAUCAAUUUAAACCCAAUCCCCUAAAAGGAGAAUAGAAUUGACUUGAUUUUCCACUCUCAAAGGACCCAAUUCUUAGUCAAAGUCUAAAGUCCUUGGCACCAGAAUAGUCAUCAUGGAAUCCUUCCCAUGUGAAUCAACAUCAAACCUGAAAGUACACUGGAAUGUUGUAAAUCCGAACUUGCAACCCUAAUUUUCAUAGUGUCCACUGACAACUUAGUGUAGUGUGGUACAACCCUAUUGUUGUGCAGCUAACAAAACAGUCGCUAGCAUCCGAAACACCCUAAUCUUGGGCUCGGUUUGGAGUCUAAAGACCACAAGGAGAUAACUUUUGGCAAGGGAACAUUUCAAUAGCUGUGCAUUGAAAGAUAUGUGUUAAAGGAAAAUCUUCCUUGAUUAGCAGGCUGGUGUUAGGUUUUCUAGUUUUGGUAGGUACCACAAACUUGGGCUAUGGUGGGUACGGGGCGGUGAGGUUGAAACAUCAACCAUUGUAUUCCACUCUUCAAGCGCAAAGAGCUCUGAAACCCUAACCGCUGGUGCCAAGAAAUGAGAAGCGCGUCGGACGAGUAGAGAGGCCUAAACGCAGUGGAGAAUGUAGUGGAGCAGUUCACGCAAAGCUUUCGUGGCCGUCCUCGAGAAUAAGACGGUAAUAAAGAGUACUAAGAUGGAGCAGUACUAGUGUAAGCCUAGGUGUACGUCAGUUUGUCUCAUUACAAAUACAUCAAACAAAGUGAAAACACUUCAUCUUAAACAAAACCCACUGCCAGCCCUUGUGGGAAAUUUCCGAGGAAAGCAAUACUGAGUUUUCAGUAGUUGCCUAAUAUGAACAGGCGUGGUAGUACCAACUCAACAAUUUGCAGAGAAUAUCCGACGAAUCUUCUUGGGCAGGCGAAGAACAUCGCUUGUUAGUAUUGUAGAGACGGUUACAACAAGUCCAGGUUCGUUGGUGACGAAAUGAACAAGCGGUGGAGAAAAGGAGCGACUGCUUGGGACUCCUUCAGGUAAACAGUUUGUAUCGUCUCAGCGAGCCUUACCUCGUUGGUCGAGAUCUUAUAUAUACCAAGAAAACAGCACCCAGAAAACCAGUUGAGGUACAUCAUAAGCGAAAGGCCAUUGAAGUCGGAAGCCAACAUGUUACAGCCAAGUCUUUAAUCUUAUAGACUCCUACUUCACUUAAUUCUGACCAAACCCCAUCUAAAUGUAACUGUCUUGCAUAUGUACCGCUUGGGCAGCCCGUGCAUCACUGAACCUGCAAAAUCAUUUCCUGAAACUCGGAGAUGUACGUUCUCAUGAAGAACCUUAUAACUGUAAUAAAUUGCUUGCGCCAUUAUCCCGAGCUUGUGUACAUGUACAAAUGUUAAUCACUGCUGAAGUUUCCAGAAGUAAGAAAGAACCGGUUCGGAUAGGUACCCUCUCUUGUUUUGGAGCAGAAAAACUUGUUCACUCCCAGCCAGAUCCUAAGCAUUGAGACAUUGAAUGGGCGUUCCUAAAAUUCUUCAAAUCAAUGUGGUUGGCACCCAUCCUAAAUGUAAUGCUUCAAUAAGAGGAACUUCACGAACUGAUUAUUGCAUAACUGGGUCUAAGGAGGUACAAAUGUGCUAUGCAGCAGGUGGGGAUAUCGAGGAGUGCAUUCCAGCAUCACAGAACACUGGGGGGGUGAUAUCCUCGAUUCCAGAUUGGGAGCUUCGGGAUUCAGUUCCUCGUUAUGAAACUGCAAUGAGUCGUCCUCUUGAUUUCCAAAACUCUCAAUCGGAGCACAGAUUUUUUCCCAUAUCAAAGGAUCAAGCCAUGGAUUUUCAUAACGUUUAACAGCGGGAGGAAAAUCAAUCACUGAAGAUUCCACUUCAGAAUUUUGAGAUGCAAUCAGUGUGUCCAGGAUACAAGAAAUCUUAUUUUCUGGCGCGACGAUAAGUGUCCUACUUGCAGCAGAUUCUUUAUCAUUAAUUAGCGGUUCAGGACAUGCAAUCGUAGCUUCAGGUUCAUCCUGUUUCUGCAAGAAGGGUAAAUUGUAUUGGAAAUGCUGGUGAUGAAGUGGACACAUAAAAUCUAUAGCAUGCUCGACAUGUUUAAAACACGCUGUCCAGUCAGAUUUCACUAGGCUUAGAAACUGCGGGCUAUUAGACUCUGAUGAGGCAGUAAUUGAAAGACCGAAGUUCUCUUCACCACCAGAAGAGCAACGGAAUCCCUAGUGGUCGCAUGGCUAGUGGCAUCGCUAGUGGCAUGUUUGAAAUGCUCGUAUUCUUCCACAGGAAAAAAGAAGUGACAUCAUGGAGGAAGCCUGUGAGAUUCUUCAUUGGGCAAAUCUGCAGAGAAUUUGUAAUGUUUUGAGUUACAUACCUUGGGGUCUGAGAGUCCAGAGUGUCCUCGAAAUCCUGGAGCCAUUAAUGUUACUGUAGAUGCUUGUGAUGGUUGCUGUGCCUACAGUUUCAUGAUUCAAAACUAGAACUUUGUUUUCAAGCUGACAAAAAAUUCAACGUCAUCGCUAGACUAACAGAGAUUUCGUAUUUUCAUCCUCUAAUAAUAGAUUCCACCAAAGACAUCUAUAUUAAAUCACAGUGACUAAAAGAUUCCUGCACUGGUCAAUGACAUUCUUUGAGCAGUUUCACUGCUGGGACUUGACUCUAUGAGAAACAUAAGGUGGCUGCGGAGAACCAACCGCUAAUUCCUGCUGGGACUUGACAAGAUUUUUAUUUUGCUUUCUGACGUCUUCGCUCGAUUUCAUAUCCGCAUGCUGUUCAUUUUUUCCAGUGUCAGUCAGCAUGCUCAUAUUGGUGCAUAGAUACGAGAAUUAGUGGACACCUUACAACAUUUUGAAAGCCUCCAAGUAAGCAACAUGAGUUUAAGAGAUACUAUUGAUCCCAAAAUACGACAUAUUUUGAAACAUUCCUACAGACAUUGGUACGUAUAAUAAGGCACAACUAUACCAAGAAUAUCACCGUGCCUAUUAAAUAGAGAAUUAACGAAGAGAGCAGUGUAUUUUAGUUAACAUGAAUUACUCACUGGUUCCAGAUGAGGUGCAGGGUUAAAUCCCUGAGCAAAUAAGCUUAUGAAAAUCAAUUCAGCUAAAGAAAGUAGGUACCUCAUCGAUUGUGAGAGUGGUAGCCUCUUCACUCUGCUGUGGUAGUUUGAGACUAUCACUGAAAUACGUUCCCAAACCAACCAACCAACCAAAAGUAAGAAAAAAAAAAGUAGAGAAAACAAUUUAGAUCACUCUGCCUAAGUUUUCUCAGAUCUUCGGCCCCAGAUGAGAGAUCCACUUUUCGAUGAACAAUUAUAAGAGAAGCCCAGCGGUUUAUUAACAUGAGUAAACUAUACAGACCCAAAACUGACUGUACAAAUUCCAGAAAAGUUAUACAAAGCACCACCAGUACCUAUUAUCUACUGAGUCAGGGACGUGCUUCGUCGUAAGUGUGGCCUGGAAUAUCAAAAGAUAAGAUAAGUUUCAGAAACCAUGAAACAUUCAGUAAAUAGCUAUAGAUAGAAUAAUCAACUGCAAUUGAUUAAAAGUUUGAAGUUUUAAAUAGUCUUCUCUACACCUGUUCAUCUAUAAUGCUGAAGUUCUCUGCGAGCUGUUCUUCUAGCCGCAACUCACGUACACUAGUGUCACAAGCUAGUGCUUCCUUUUGACUAUCUUGCGCUUCCUUGUGACCAUGUAGUUGCAUCCAAAGCUCCUUCACACAAAAAUUAUUUUCGACAAAUAAAACAAUGUAGCGUUUAAUCAUCUUCGAAAUAUAGUACUCAGCAUUGUACUCGGACGUACAAAUAGAUAUCACAUGCAAGAGUCGCCAAAGAUCCACAUUAGUGAUUGUCUGAUGUAAAAUACUUCACCAGCAAAACAAUACCACGCAUUCUAUCACCUGCAGUUAAUUAUACCUGAUGACACUAAAUUAACAAGGUAUUUACAUUAUCUAGUUUAAAGCAUGAAUAAGAAACGUGGGUCCACCUUUAUAGUGUACACUUUUUCUCGCAAGCUCCGCUCAAUUUGAUCUCUGGCCAUAUAAGGUGACGAAUCAAAGGUAUCCUGUUCAUGCAACCUUCUCUUUGUUAGAAGUCAGAACACUACCUCCAUGAGUAACCUAUCGAGAAUCUCCAUCGAGAACCUCUAUACAUGUUGUUUAGAGUGUUUUCCUGCAAAGGAUGGCUCGAUAAUUCACACUUCAGUGGGUUUUGACCAACAAACAACAAUGUUCAUCAUAACUUCCUUAAGAUAGUCCUAGCGGAUGGCCUUAUGCACUGAACACACCUCUUUGUUAUAAUGCAGGCAUGGCACAACACGGAUGCUCAAAAGUACCAAAACAUUUCAUCACAAACUGAAGAGAAAUGCUAGAUAUACUUAUAUAUAGAAUACUUCAUAUUGCAAGCAGCAGAGGUAAUUACCGUUCGGUCUCCUAAACGAGUCGGAGGUAGCUGAAGGUCCGCACUACCAUUUACAAUGCUUCCAGGCCUAUUCAUGCCAUUUGAUGCAUUCAAAGAAUCUCGCAUCCCUGCCUGUAAAGAAACACGGAUUGAAAAUUUCCGAAAUGGAACGAAGUGAAACGUUACAUAACACAUACAGGACAGACUACAAACCAGGAAUACCACUAUCAGAGUUUCAUGUGGUCAAUUUCAGUACAACAGCUCAUGUCAAAGUUGGACGAUUCCUUUUGCAUUUCUGUGAAUCAUCGAGCAAUCGAAUCAAAAAGAGUAUGAUGGACCAUCACAAAUAAAAUCUUGAAGUAUCUAAGAAAUUUUACACGGAUCUUCAAAAUUUACACAUUUUGUGAUUACUUACUAAGCUUCAACUGAAGUACAGGCGACUCUACACAAUACCUACACAUCAGUAGUACUUAACAUAGACACUGAUAACAUACCUGCAUGGAUCCUAAUAAUGCACGCAAAUCUGCAUUUUCUGCAACUAUUUCCUGCUUCUUGGACUCGUAGGCAUCAACCUGCGCAAAAUACCACACAUGCAUAUUUUCUCACUACCACAAUCCUCUAAAUGUGAUCACCACAUAACACUUAUUUUAGAUUGCGUUAGUGGAUAAAUUGGCUGGACGGAAAUAGAGAAAGAGCUUCAGCCAGCUAAAACUAGCAUAGCGCAUGCAGUGCCAAAAUAAAACAUUUGAAAGGGCACAUUGAUUCUCCGGAAUAUCAUCCCACAUAAGUCUAGCAUACCAAAAAGAUUUGGCUAUGGCAAUAAUAGAGAAUCCUGAAACGAGAGCAGCCAUAUGAUAAAACAUAGAAGUCUAAAAAUCACUAGAAGACUUCCUCUAAACAACAGGAGGGAUAAAUAAAAUUGAACCCACAAUCAUCUUGUAAAAGUCGCCGUCAGCUUUCUUAGUGUUCCAUGUCCCCCGUUGCCUACCUUCUUUCUGAAACGAAAAAACGGCACAUACACUCAAAUAAUUUGUCAUCAUUUUCAUUGUGCCUAAAACUGUCAAUCGUCAAUACGAAUCUCCCGGAUUUCAAGCAUACUUUGUUGACAUGAAACAUCAGCAGAUCCAAAGCUAAAACUUCUUCCAAUCUAGAAUUCUAUAUGAUUUUCGCCGUCUGUUGAACAAGCUCGACAGACGUUGAAAAAAUCCUCUCCGCUGACCACUACUGAUAACCUCGAUGGCAAAUUGUCGAGUUCUAAAUUACUCAAAAAUCCAGAAUAUUCUUAAAAGGUGUUCACGUGGUUUACUCGUGUUCAUAGACAAACGAGCACAUAGGUAUAUGUCCAUAAAAAACUAAGACAUAAGGCAGUCGAGCACAAAACGGCGUCCCUUGGAAAAUUGUGAAAACAUUUCAGGCACUGUAUUGCAUUGUACCUGAAGAAGGUUCAUGACUUCCGCGGUGUUCUUGGACUCCUUCUUUUUCUCCAUCAAUAUCUGAUUGAGCCGUUCCUGCGCCCAAUAAAAGCCUUGUAAAUUGUUAUCGGCUGACACCUCUUGCAAUGAACUCUAGUAAACUUUCAUAGUUGCCACCAGAAUUUAACACCGUUAACCAACUGGUUCUCCAAUUACCCAGAAUUCGCAAAAUACAUUUGAACUUGAAGAUUCUGAUUGGGAAGUGAAUUACGUAGCUGCUAUCUUCAAACUUGAUAUGUUCUAGAUACUUACUGACGUUAGGAAGCGAUGCAUAGGCAUACCUGUAGCUGCACAUACUCCUUCUCCUUCUUCUUCAAUUGGUGGUUCUGCUGAGACCUAAUUUGCUGUCCAUUAACCCCGGCACAUAUGUUGGGAAUUGGCAAACAGCAUCACAUCACUAAAUCACGGAAAAGUAAUAGGUGAAUUUUGAAAUUUUUAUGGUCAAAAGAGAUCUAGAAUAUAUGGAUAAACAACCACUCUUACAAUCAGCCUGAAAGCACUGAAACUUUCAUAAAUGCUUUUCAGCGCAACAAACUAAUUUUGUACGAUAAAUAGACCCAAGAUGCUUUCAAACCGAAAGCUACGACGCUCAAACCUGUACGCCAAUCAGGAUGCGUUGAGUUUCAUCCUUUUCUUGUUGCAAUUUAUCUAACUGCGUCUUAAAAGCAGCCGUGACCUUUUGUUCCUGUCACCACCAACCAAACUCGCUCUAAAUGAGUACACUUGUCUUGGUUUAUACCGAUUUGAUAUUCAGCCAUUCCCAGUGAAAGACGGCCAUUCAGUUGAGAACCCAGUGCAACAAAUGAUCGGCUGCUUUCAGACGCUAGCUCGAGCAUACAAUUGAUUUUUACAGAUUUACCUUGCUGGUUAGCAUUUGCAAUUCACGUUCCUUGAUGCUGAGCUGAUCAGACAGUCUCUCCAUCCUGGUCUCUAACCUAGACAUGUCUGAAACCAAUCUGCAGAGCAAAACAAUUUCCAGAAAAAGUUACAGACUGUACGGUUUUAGAAGGUAAAGAGUUGACUUUGGACAACAUCCACAAAGGCCUCGCACUGUUUAGAAUUUAAAUUUCGCGCUCAGAUGAAGUGCUGCAUGUCCAUUUCCAAAAUAUUGAACUGGGUUGUGUCAACAAAGUCGUAAUUCUAGCUUUGCAAUCAGAAGUCUGUAAGAGCAGGUUUGAAGAAUAGCGUUGAUGUGAUUGACAUUGGAUUAACCUAUCUUAUGUAACCCCUGAUUGCUCUUUAGAUUGCGGUUCUAAACAGCAUUGGUUCAUGUACUGCUUUUAAUAUCAAAUGUUAACAAAUACACAGCACAAUGCCUGAGCCAAAGCAAACCUUUGUCUCGCGUCAUUAGCAGCUUCACGAUACUCGAUGUCUCGUUGCCGUUGUUGAAUCAUUGCGUAUAAGCUGUUACACGUAUUUGCGAUUGAUACCUGUUCCAGAAUUAAGUCGUUCUCAUGGGAUAAGCCGACAAAAACUACCUCCGCAACCAUGAGUUUUUUACAUUUAUUAAUACAGCCAGCAGGAGGAAGAUAUAGCUCGUAGAAUAUUUCACAAAAGAUCAACCUAACCAUGGGACAUAAAUCUUACAGGGUCAUUUGAAUACAAAUUGAUUCCAGAAGGCAAACCGAAAGUGACCAGGGACUGAUUCAGGUACUUGAUACAAUGAUCCAAAUUGUGGAUAUCUGCAAAGACAUCCUCCCUGCAGAGAGAAGGCCAAAGUACGUUCAGAUCAUGUGAUUCGGCACUGAGAAGACGUGUACUGAUGCACCCUAGAAGACAUUCACACUAAUUGGAUUCUCCUCCGUCAAAAUGUGAAUCGCAUAUAUUAACAUUUACAUAAGGAUUUAUUUCAGUAUGCGCACACUAGGCUCUUCAAGAAUGGAAAAAGGUUAUUUCACGGACUAGAUCCUCAUAGCUAAGUUAUAUCACAUUUUCUUCAUCAAUCAACUGCGAUGAGACCAAAUUUUAAUGAAUUGAAAAGAUGUUGAUUAUCAGCAGCUCAUAUUAAGCCAAUGUAAAUAGAAGGUACUUAAGAGGAGUCACAUUAACGCAGUUUAGAAUCCUUUUAGGAAGGCAAGUGAGAUACCCGUUGGUGUAGCCAGCCUCGUAAGACUCCUGCAAAGGGCAUAGAUGUAUACAAACUUAAACAAAGUUCAGGAAAUCUAUGAAACAUGAAAACAUCGUCAUCCAUAGCAAGUGUGUGCCAAGAAAAUUCGCAUAUUGAGAUGUCAGCAAAUUGUUACUACGCAACUAUAAAUACAAUGUGCCACAUCAGUAUGAAUACUACCGCACUACAAUCCACAUUGUCUUACCUUCAAGGGAAGGACGGAAGCCUAAAUUAUGUGAUAACUACUAACACGAACCUACAUAAGCGAAGAAAACUCGCCGCUCCGUAACAUACGCUGAAAAAGAGGGAAGUCUCACCAUAUAACUGCCUUCAUUGUCGCUUAUCUUCAUUGUCACCUCCUUGUCGGUACAAAUCCAAUGUUACUCUCUCGCUGUACAGGAUCUUUGAAUCUAAUUGAUAUGGUGUAAUGAAUAUAGUCGAAAUUUUUUCAAAAGUCAAGGCGGAGGGAUUGUCAUCUGAGCGUCCGGUAACCAGUUCACCAGGAAAAUAAUAAUGAAGCCGGUUUCCAAGGUCAUACAGACUUAAGAAGAAUUAAGAAUAGAACAAUAGUUAAUUUCAUACUUCAAAGUAGUCUUCUGAGAUGAUCAAUGUUAAACACUGUGCCUUACAACGUUCAAAUAUGAGAAAAGUACGUACAUCCUGCCAAGGGAGGAAUUAUUCGCAGAACGAGGGGCCAGGGAGAGCGAAGCUUAUGCAGAAGAUCCGAUAAACUGCAACUUAAUAAAUUUUGCGCAGCUCAAUGACUGAAACCAGUACUUCAUAAUUCCGUAAGAUUGAUGCUACUACAGCCAAAGGAAACCAUAAGCAAAGAGCUCCAUUAUUCCCUCACAAGACCUAACAGAAUUCAACCUCAACGAGUUUGACAGCGUAAUACUCAUUGAAUUGUUCUUCAGUCCAGAAAGCAGCUUAUGAAAAUUCCCAGAGUUAUUCAUUUCCUGCACGAAAAAAGAUAAAGAAAAAGAACACAAUACGGAGACGCGAGAUAGCGGUCGCACCACUUCAGUAUGACUAUCAAUUUCACUUUCCGAUCCACUCUUCCCACGCAUCCAAUAUCAGUACAUAAACCAACCACGCAUGAGCCAAAGUCGAAUAUGGGCCCGAAACUUCCCAAAAUUUGCCGUUCAGUAUCCUUUCAAAAUUCUCCAGUACCUCACACACGUGGUAGGUAGUCCAUGCCCCUCCUGAAACCAGCACGAAUACGACAGCUAAUUCUUACAUGCUCUUCGACCCCGCCCGUAAAGACUUGACGACUUCGGGCAACACCUCCAAAAACAUGUGCAGUAAAACUACUAGCAACGGCCACAAUAAACACCUUCACGUCUUGCAAUCUCACGAACCAGCCUGAAAUUGUAGAAUUCCACACGUACAAAAUACUCACCUCGCCAACUUCAACACACUCCCUUGUUUCAUAAUCAACUACACGAAAAUGUGGGAAAAAAACAAAAAGAAAAAAAAAAAACAAAACAAAACAAAACAAAACAAAAAAUCCUCUUCGUUUCAACUCAAACAACCAGAGCUUCCAAAAUCUCGUCGAUGCCACUACUUCUAACUGCGACCGCGUUCAAUCCUCCUACAGAAUACAAUACUCUCAAGAGCACUCUCGACAGUAUCCACUUAUCGUGAUAUAUUCGGACUCUAAUCGCAAUGCAGCUUGCCCAGUUGCCCCGAACCAUGAACGACGUGCCGCCAACACGCGGUUGCUGUUAGCAAAUGCGAGGCAUCAAAUAGAGUCACGAUGGGAUGCUUUCUCCGAACGCAAAAAGAUGGAGGAGACAUUCGUAACCAUAGGUUUCAGAGCGCAUGGGACUUGUUGAGCGCUAACAACAACAACGGAACCAGUAGGAAAGGAACGGAAUGGCUUGCGCCGCAACGAAGACAGACACACGCACAAACAUACACACUAGCCUCGGAGGACAGGCCAGGCCGGACCGGGCCGGGCCAGAGGCUUUUCCGCAAGCAUGGGGCGGGAGGAGGCGCCGGGGCCCGCUAGAGUUCUGGAAAUAGUCACCCGUGUGUUCAAGUCGCCCGAGCCCGAGUUGGCUGCCGUCGGAAUAGCAACGGAUAUUAUUCAUCGUUGACGAAAAAGAUUAUACGUCCGCUGAGCUCAGCCAUAUCAUGUUCACACUUGCAUGUGAGGGUGUGUUUUCUCGCUCUCUCUGCGCACUCAACUUCUUGGUUUAGAGCUUCCUUUUGUGAGUUAGGGGGAUAUAAAUAAAAAUAAUAUAAAUUUGGGCAAUGAAUAUUUGGACACUAGAUUACCACCAAGCUCUUAUUCAGGAUUGCCUUCUUGUUUGGAAGUUGUGGUAAACCAGCUUUCACAUGCUGAAAUUGCUGACAGACAAUUAUAAGAUACCCACAAAACAUAGUAUUUUUCUUCAUUUGCUUUAAAGUUUUAGCCAAUUUGUGUAAAGUAAAAAUAAUAAUAAUAAAAUAAUAAUAGUAAUAAAAAUAAAAAUAAAGUAAAGAUACACAUCAACAUUGCAUUUCCUGAUAUCUAAAAUUUCUUUGAUGUAACAAGUGUAAAAAUCUUUUUUUCAUACGGAAUUUUAUUUUAGAGAUUUUAAAUUCAAUAAUGAUUUAAAAAAAUAUGUGUAAUUAAAUUAGUAUUUUAAAAAAAUAUUUAAAGUAUAUACAAUUCCCUGGUAGUACAAACUACUGUGCCAUUUUAUGAUUUACUGUAUGCUAAGUUAGAAGCAGUUAUUGUGUAAUGAAUCAGGAAAAUUAGAAACUAAAAUAAAUAUAUGUGCAUUUAUUAAUAUAUAUAUAUAUAUAUAUAUACAUGCAUGUGUAUUUUUCUAUAGUGAAAAUAAGAUUCAAGCAAUGGUCUUUUAGUGUACUCACACAUCCAAUGUAUAUAUGCUCUAGUACUAAACUGAUGUACAAUUUUCUUAAGUUUUUGAAGUUAACUUAGACUUCCUAGUAAUUUAUUUAAAAAUAUAUAGGAAAUUACAUUUAUUGUCUAAUGCCUUUUGGUAACACCACUAAAUUGAAGUUGAGAAACAAAAAAUAUAUAUAUAUAUAUAUAUAUAUAUAUUUAAAAUUAGAUCUUUUAAUUAUGAUUGCAUAUCUUUAAAAAAAGAAUCAUAUUUUACAAACACCAUAAAUCAGAAUAAUUGUUGGCAUAAAUUCCUAAAACUGUACAACUAAAUGUAGAGAUAAAAUUUUGUGAAACUUCUACUAUUUAAUUAAAUUAUCUUAAUUUACUUUAAUUUAAGUUAUUUAGAUGGCAUUAGAUUUCAACCUUUGUGAAUUGCACAUUUUGAUACUUGAUUGAUGUAAGAAAAUAAAAACACUGCAAGAAUUUGAGAUUCAAUAAAAACAACCAAAAACACAAAACAAAACAAAACCAAAUACAGGCUGAAAACAUUCAGAUUCCUAAAACUGUAUGAUUCUAAAGACAAACCCAAAAGUUAC